Molecule: long non-coding RNA, 49113 nt
Filed under: Citrus sinensis (sweet orange)
Lineage: Eukaryota; Viridiplantae; Streptophyta; Magnoliopsida; Sapindales; Rutaceae
Description: long non-coding RNA (CSIN_LNC000915)
Source: RNAcentral
CCCUAAAAUACAUAAAAUACUUAAUUAAAAUAACACACACGUAAUUACAUCACAAGAAGGUUAAAUACAUAAAAGUAAGAGUUGUUAGUAAGACUUGAAAUAUAAAAUGAUGGUUUUCUCCUUUAUAAAUAUGCAUUUUCUAAUACUCAACAGCUCCCGUGUCUAGCAGCGCGCGAACGGACUGACUUUACGAGGGCAUUCAACGACUUUUUCUCCGGGCAGUCGCGUACCCAAUGAGGGCCAUUGCAAAUGAAGCAUGGGCUUCGAGGCUUGGGUGGCUUCUCGGACUUACUUUGCCCGUCCUUGCCGCUUGGAGGCUUUUUCUUGCUCCAUUCCUUGCAAUUGCGGUUGUUGUCCUCAUGGUUCUCUCCCCCACCUUGGUCAUAGCUAGACCUCUUGUCCUUGAGCUGGGCGGAGUAUUCGGUGAGCGACUCCGCAAUGGCGAUGGCGUCGUCAAGUGUUUGAACACCACGCCUAUCAAGCUCGGUCUUGGCCCAAUCCUUGAGGCCAUCUUGGAAGUAAAAGAGUGAAUCUUUGUCGGACAUGUCGCUUAUCUCCAACAAAAGGGUAGUAAACUCGUUGAUGUAGUCCCGAAUGCUACCCGAUUGCUUGAGGCGACGUAAGCGCGCUCGCGCUUCCUUCUCCGCAUUGCUUGGGGCGAACUGCUUUCGGAGUUCUUGCUUGAAGUCAGCCCAAGUGUCGAUGGUGCAAAUGCCCUUGCCCAUCUCGCCAUGCUUGCGACGCCACCAUAGUUGUGCAGCGCCUCGAAGAUAGGUGGGUGCAGUGCCCACUUUCGAUGCCUCAUCUCGGACACCCAUGGCAUCGAACUGCUGUACGGCCAAGGCGGAUGUACGGUACAGCAGAACCCGUGCGGCACUUAGACAACUUUGCCGAAUGUUGCUAAGUAAGCCUAGAGCUUCUCGGAAUAGAGAAGAGAGCAAUUGAGCCAAAGAAGAAACUUGUAUUGCACAAAGAGAGAUUACAAUGCUUGUUGUAGUGUUUGUUGGAUACAAAUGCCUAAUGCCAUCCCAUAUUUAUAGGGGAGGCUUGCCAAGCUCUAGAGAUUCUAGAGAAUUCUACCAUGUUCCUAGAAUUCUAGAUAUUUACAUGUGCUGGAAUUCUAUGCUGCUGUACGGCCCAGGCGGAUGUACGGUACAGCAGGGCUAAAAAUUCCUCUUUUUGCACUCCAAUUUUUUUUCUCUUUCUCUUGAAAAAUUCUUCAUAUUUUUCCUGACCAUGAUGCAAAAAAUCAGACCAAAAUUCAAUAUAUUUUUUUUUUUUGGGGGUGGGGGUCAGCUCAAGUAUUGGGGGUGUCUAUUGCUGCUAGAUCAAAAAAAGCUCUAAGACCUCUUUAGGGGGGUAAGGGAUGAGAGGUGCCUAGGUCGGGUGGUGGGAGCCCCGGCCUUUGUUGGCGUUGGCCUUGCUGCUCGGCCUUGGUGCUUCGGUUUUGGGACGUCCGUCGGAAUGUCGCCGUCGAGCUCGCUCCGGCGUCAUUCCGGCGACUUUCCGGCGACCUUGUUUUUGCGGAAAAAGUAAAUGUGUGCUGCUUCUGCUGUACGGCCAAGGCGGAUGUACGGUACAGCAGUACAAUGCUUGUUGUAGUGUCAUGUGCUGGAAUUGUAUAAAGUAUUCUAGAAUAUUUACAUGUUCACAUGUGCUAGAGUUGCCUAGAACCUUCCGGAAUUGGGCCAAGCUAGCACUCUUGGCCUUGUGUUGGCUCUCUAGCCCGAAAUUGUGGGCAAUUGGGCUAGCGAAUUGGGCGGUCCGCAAUAGUAACAUCACUUAAAACCAAAGAUAAUACAAAAUUACAAAUACUAAAAUUUGAAAUUAAUCAUGUCAUCCAAUGUUAAAACAAAUCACAUAAUUUUUUUUUAAACAACAUUCUACCCCCCAACCUAUUCUAAACAUGAAAGGAAAAUAUGCAUGCAAAAAUAUAAAAAUGAUGCAGAAAAAUUAAUUAGAAAAAAAAUAUUUUUUUUUAACUUAAGAAGAAGCGUUUCUAGAAGCACUACACUCGAUAUUCAGCCAUCUUCGACUCAAAAGAAAAAAAAUUAAAAAUGUAUAUUUAUAAAGGAGAAAUUAAAAAGAAGAAGAAAAAUGAACAUCAAAACAUAAUAAAGAAAAAGAAAAUGUCUGAAUUUUUUUUUUAAUUUUUGUUUUUUUUUUCAAAAGAUGAAGAUACCUUUCUAGAGUCACUACACUCCAUAUUCAGCCAUCUUCAACACAAAAAGUUAGCAACAGUUAGUUUCUACAACAAAAAAUCAGUAAAAACUUAAUCAAGAUUCCACAAUUGUCGACUAUUCCCUCCCCCCAACCAGAACGAAACAUUGUCCUCAAUGUUUUAAAGGAAAGAAGUAGAGUUUAGAAGACAUCACCUGGGUGGUGCAACACAGAAGAAAAUAUUUACAGGCGGGAGUUAAAUCUAAUUUGUACUUCUUACUGCGGCUACUCUUACCAUCAUUAUUUGGAUGCUCUAACACAAAGGUCCAGGGGUCUGGCUCCGGUUUAUAAGCUUGUAACAGAUCAAGUAGCUCAUUAGCAGUGUGAGCACAAAUAAAAAGUUUUUUGGCAUUGGAAGGAACAAAAUAGUUUUUUAUUGCAUGGUUAAGAAAUGCGAUAAAGCCAUCAUAAAAAUUAUUGACAUUUAACAAACCGAUGGGUUUCUGGUGAAUGUGCAGAUGGGCCCAAGAUGCUAGUGUGAUAAGUGCCUCUAGUGUUGCAAGAUCUCCUGGAAGAAAAAUAAAAGCAUCAACAUGAUUAAGCAUUUCAGUUAUUCUUUCUUGCAUGCCUGAGACGACUAACUCUUCUCCAGUUGAUGAGUCAGACGAACUGCCCAAUGGUUUUAGGACUCUUGGGAUGAUGCCUAACACUUGACUUCCUCUGAUAAAAGCUGCUUCGGAGACCAUUUUUGAUAACCCUCGGUUACCUCCUCCAUACACCAAAUGUAAAUUUCUCGCUGCUAUGCUUCGACCAAGAUCUAUAGCUGCCUCAACGAACUCUUUAUGUUUCACGUAGUUGCGACUGUGGCUCACAUCUUCCUCUGGUUUUACGUCCAGAAACGGCUUGAACGCCCUCUAUGGGUCGAGGAUAGGCUUCCCAUCCCGUUUUCUUAUAAACUGGCACACAGGGUCGUUUAUAGUCAGAUUCCCGAGACUAUAUCGUGUAUGCUCUUUCUGGAAUAAUGGCCAUAACUGGAGAAUCGCUCCUUGCAUAUAUCCACUGGGAUGCGUUUCAAGAGACAAAAGGAUAUCAUCCAAUGACUCCUUAUUCAAGUCAUCCCUAAUGAAUUGAAUCUUAUCUUCCCUGUUAUUAGACACCAUUCCUAAAGAACAUGGGUUUUUAUCGCAACUCAUUCUGGCACACUUGUGACAAGCAACAGAAAUUCUUCGAGCUCGUCGUUUUCUUGCAUAAUUUCCUUUACCACAACCAGGCAUGAAUGCAAUAAAUUUUGGAGGUAACUCACCUGCCGAUCGUACUUUAGCCUCGAUUAACCAACGGAUGUCUGCAGGUAUGUUAUUCCUCAUGAGCAAUCGCAUGCGUUCAGACCGGGCUUUAUAGAUUGUAAGGAGGGCAUUCUGAGGAAGUGAAGGGAAUUGCUUGUGAAGCUUUGCUAGAGUCUCGUUUCUGUCCAUACUUUCGCCUCAGAAUGUCAGUUAUUGUGGGAAACUGAAGUAACCGACUUGAUUGUCGCGGAGUACCGUUAUCCGCCAUUUCACCGGGGUAACAAACUAAAGCACACAAAUAGAAAAAAAAAGUAAAAACACAAUUAAAAUCGUCCUCUUAUUGAAUUUACCUCAAGCUCCAACUGGAUGUCGUAAACACUUCUCUCAAUGUCUCUGAGUUGGCGUUCUAAACCCUCAACAUAGGCUACUAACUCUGGUGGCUGUAGAGCCCAAAUGCGAUGUGUUUUACAAAAUUGAAUUUGCCUUUUGAGAUGAGUUUUGACACGUUGAAGUGGUUUAAGAAUGUUCAGGAGGAACGGUCUAAGUAAGGUACUCAUGAUUAAAAAUGAUAAGAGAAAAUUUAAUAGUUAAACAAACACACUUAUGCAAAAAUAAUUUCAAUUAGGAAAAGAAUAAUAUAAAGAAAGAAAAAAAUAUCAAAUCACCGAAAAGAAAAGAAAAAAACAAUCAAUUCAAAUCUGGUGGGUGACUCAAAUUUAUUUCGGUGUCUUCUCCAUGUGGUUGGUACUCUAGAUAUGGCUUUAAUCUUUGACCAUUCUCUGCUGUACCGUACAUCCGCCUUGGCCGUACAGCAGUUCAUUCGUUGCUUGUAAAUCUUGGCAUUUUCGUAUGCGUCAUUGUGAAUUUCUACAAGUUCUGCGAGCUGUAAUCUUCUUUCUGAGCUGGCUUGCUGCAUGUCGAAAUUGAAUUUCUUGAUGGCCCAAUAUGCACGAUGCUCGUGUUCCACAGGUAGGUGGCAAGCUUUUCCAUACACUAGCCUGUAGGGUGACAUCCCAAUCGGGGUCUUGAAAGCCGUUCUAUAUGCCCAUAAUGCAUCAUCAAGUCUUAAUGACCAAUCUUUUUUGUCUGGCCUCACCGUCUUUUCUAAUAUGUGCUUUAUUUCUCGAUUGAAGAUCUCAACUUGGGCACUGGUUUGCGGAUGGUAUGGGGUCGCCACUUUGUGAGUGAUUGAAUAUUUUGUCAAAAGAGUUUUGAAUGCUUUGUUACAAAAGUGGGCAUCACCAUCACUGAUUAUUGCUCGAGGGAAUCCAAAGCACGAAACAAUGUUGCUUUUCAAAAAUCAUAUCACCACCUUGUGAUCAUUGGUUCUACAUAGAAUUGCUUCUACUCAUUUCGAUACGUAGUCAACAGCAACCAAUAUGUAUUGAUGGCCAAAAGAAGGGGGAAAGGGUCCCAUGAAGUCGAUACCCCAUACGUCAAAAAUCUCAACCACUAAAAUUGGAUUUAGUGGCAUCAUGUUCCUUCGUGCUGCUGUACGGCCAAGGCGGAUGUACGGUACAGCAGAGUAGAACCAAAAAUAAUGUCAUCAACAUAAAUUUGAACAAUAAGUAUGUCUUGGUUCUUAUGCUUAACAAAAAGAGUUGUGUCCGCUUUUUAAAACAAAAUGAGGAAGGAAUUUUCAUAAAUCAAGCCAAGUAUAUGAAAGACCUACUCAAGCGAUUUGGCAUUGAUGAUUCAAAAACCAAAAGCACUCCAAUGAGCACAACAACUAAGCUUGACAAAGAUGAAAAAGGCAAAGAAGUGGAUAUCAAAAUGUAUCGAGACAUGAUCGGAUAUUUACUUUACCUAACCGCAAGUAGACCCGAUAUCAUGUUUAGUGUAUGUUUGUGUGCAAGAUUUCAAUCAUGUCCCAAGGAAUCUCAUUUACUUGCUGUAAAAAGAAUUUUCCGUUAUUUAAGUGGAACUAUAGAUCUUGGCCUUUGGUACCCUACAUGAACUCAUAUAGAUUUAACAUGUUAUUCGGAUGCGGAUUUUACUGGAUACAAAGUUGAUGGGAAAAGCACUAGUGGAACUUGUCAUUUACUAGGCCAUUUACUUGUUUCAUGGUUUAGUAAGAAAAAAUAUUCUGUUGCACUCUCAACCACCGAGGUUGAAUAUAUCGCCGCCAGAAGUUGUUGCGCAUAAAUACUUUGGAUGAAACAAACACUUAAAGAUUAUGACAUAAAUCUUGAACAAAUUCCUAUUAAGUGUAAUAAUACCAGUACUAUAAAUCUUUCAAAGAAUCCCAUUCAGUACUCUAGAACCAAGCAUAUAGAAAUUAGACAUUAUUUCUUGAGAGAUCAUGUUCAAAAGAGAGAUAUUGCAUUAGAGUUUAUUUCCACAGAAAAACAACUUGCCGAUAUUUUUACAAAACCUCUUUGCGAAGACCAAUUUCUGCUGUACGGCCAAGGCGGAUGUACGGUACAGCAGAUAAAGACUUCAAGGAAUCGUUCAACCAUAUCAGAAAAAAUGCUUAACAUGCAUCGUUGAAAUGUAGCAGGUGCAUUACAUAAUCCAAAUGGCAUUCUCCUAUAUGCAAAUGUGCCAAAAGGGCAAGUGAAAGUGGUUUUCUCUUGAUCUUUUGGUGCUAUGGGAAUCUGAUUAUAUACUUAGUAGUCAUCUAGAAAGUAACAAAAUUCAUGACCUACUAAUCUAUCAAGCAUUUUAUCGAUAAAUGGUAAAGGAAAAUGGUCUUUACGUGUGACAGAAUUCAAUUUUCUAUAAUCAAUGCAUACACGCCAUCCUGUAGUUACUCUAGUGGGUAUCAAUUCAUUAUCAGCAUUCGUAACUACUGUGACUCCUGACUUUUUGGGUACAACUUGUACGGGACUGACCCAUGAACUAUCAGAAAUUGGGUAAAUGAUACCUGCAUUUAAUAGCUUAAGGACUUCUGUUCUAACAACUUCUUUCAUAUUAGGAUUUAACCGACGUUGCAUUUCCCUAGUAGAUUUAGCAUUUUCAUCGAGGUGAAUGUAAUGCAUGCAGUCUAUUGGGUUUAUACCUUUUAUGUCUGCUAUGGUCCAUCCUAAUGCCCCUUUGUGCUCUUUUAACACAUCCAACAACUUACCUUUUUGUUCGUCAUUUAGGGAUGAUGAGAUGAUUACCGGUAGAGUACUUUCUUCUCCCAAAAAUGCAUAUUCCAAUGUGUUGGGUAAUGGUUUGAGCUCGAGUUUCGGUGGUGAUUCUGAUGAUGGGAUGAGUUUCUUCUCUGAUGGUGCUAGUUGUUCAACUCUUGACUUCUAUUUAUUAGUGUCCAUGGAUGGUGCUGAGUCAAGUAGGGCGUUGACCUCUUCGACCGAUCUGUCAAUAUCAAAAUCCAAACCAACGUGAGUUAAACAUGUUUGUAAAGGAUCAUCACUAAGGUUUGAAACAAAAGUAUUAUCAACUAAUGCUUUUAUUAAAUCCACAUCAACAAUUCCAUCAUCUGUAUUGUGAGGUUGUUUGGCAAUGUUGAAGAUGUUCAGUUCCAUAGUCAUGUUGCCGAAGGACAACGGCAUAUUUCCAGUCCUGCAUUGAAUGUGAGCAUCCGCCGUUGCCAAGAAAGGUCGGCCUAGAAUAAUGGGGAUGUGCUUCCUUGAAUCCUGUAUUGGUUGAGUGUCAAUUACAAUGAAAUCAACAGGAAAAUAAAACUUGUCUAUCUGGAUAAGCACGUCCUCCACAAUACCACGAGGUAUUUUUGUGGACCGAUCUGCAAGUUGUAACACCACUGGAGUUGGGUGUAAUUCUCCCAGUCCAAGUUUCACAAACACUGAAUAAGGUAACAGAUUUACACUAGCUCCUAAAUCCAACAAAGCAUUCUCAAUUGUGUGGUUCCCUAUACUACAUGAGAUAGUGGGGGAACCUGGGUCUUUGCAUUUUAAAGGAAUUUUAUGUUGGAGUAUAGAACUAACGUUUUCUGUUAAAAAUGCCUUCUUUUGAACAUGCAUAUUUCUCUUUUUAGUGCAAAGGUCUUUAAGAAACUUGGCAUAAAAUGGAAUUUGUUUCAUAACAUCAAGUAAAGGGAUGUUAACGCUUACCUGUUUGAAGAUUUCAAGAAUCUCACCUGUGGAUUUUUCUUUUUUUCCUUUAGCUAACCUCUGAGGAAUGGAGCUUUCGGAACAUAUUCUUACGGUUGGUUUCUUCUUUCUCCUCCGAUGGUGAGUCCUCAACAUUCACAGGUACAAUUUGAUUUUCUUUUAUCACCAACAUCUCCAUUUUGUUGUCGACUUCUUUUCCUUUUUGCAAAAAAGAAAAGUAUUAUCAACUAUUGUUUCUAUUAAAUCCAUAUCAACAAUUCCAUUAUCUGUAUUGUGAGGUUGUUUGACAAUGUUGAAGAUGUUCAACUCCAUAGUCAUGUUGCUGAAGGACGACUAUUGAUUGUAUGGUCUGAAUGGUGGCUGAGAGGCUUGAGGAUUUUAAGGAAUUUUUUGCAUUGGUGGAACUGGAGCUGUUGGUCCAUUCUGUUGGAAUCCUUGAGACCAUGAAAAAUUAGGGUGGUAUCUCCAUCCAGGGUUAUAUGUGUUGGAAUAUGGGUUGUAAUUUGAUGGUUUUCUCAUUACACCUAUGGCAUUGGCUUGAUCUGGAUAUGAGUCAGGGUCAUGUGGCUCUGUUGAUUUAGCAGUUGAUAACGAUGCUAUUUGUCUAGAGAGACCUUCAAUUAUUGCUUUGACUUCUUUAAUUUCUGAACUGGAUUCGCCAAUGUGAACCUCAUUUACUCCCUUAAUUCUUCUAGUAUUCUUGAGUGAUCGACUCCGUUGUUGGGAAUUAUCCGCUUGUCGCUGGAAAAAUUCCCAAAUUUCUGAUGCACUUUUUGACAUUAGCUCUCCUCCACUUGUUGCCAUUAGCCAUUCUUGCACAUUCGGCAAUAAUCCCUCCAAAAAGUAUUGACAUUGGUGCCAUUUUUCGUACCCAUGAUGUGGACACUUCAAGAGUAGCCCAUUGAAUCGCUCCCAUGUUUAUUUACACUAGCUCCUAAAUCCAACAAAGCAUUCUCAAUUGUGUGGUUCCCUAUACUACAUGAGAUAGUGGGGGAGCCUGGGUCUUUGCAUUUUAAAGGAAUUUUAUGUUGGAGUAUAGAACUAACGUUUUCUGUUAAAAAUGCCUUCUUUUGAACAUGCAUAUUUCUCUUUUUAGUGCAAAGGUCUUUAAGAAACUUGGCAUAAAAUGGAAUUUGUUUCAUAACAUCAAGUAAAGGGAUGUUAACGCUUACCUGUUUGAAGAUUUCAAGAAUCUCACCUGUGGAUUUUUCUUUUUUUCCUUUAGCUAACCUCUGAGGAAUGGAGCUUUCGGAACAUAUUCUUACGGUUGGUUUCUUCUUUCUCCUCCGAUGGUGAGUCCUCAACAUUCACAGGUACAAUUUGAUUUUCUUUUAUCACCAACAUCUCCAUUUUGUUGUCGACUUCUUUUCCUUUUUGCAAAGUCAUGACUGCUUUGACCUCUCUAUGCUGCUGUGGUGAACUAGUACUUGCUUCAUGUACUCCUUUAGGAUUAGGCACUGGUUGACUUGGAAACUUGUCUUUCUCAACAGUCAUUGCUAAGGUCUGAACUGAAGAAGCAAGCUGUCCCACCAUCUUCUCGAGGCUUAAAACUGAUUGAGCUUGUGAGUUGAAGCCUGCUCUCAACUCAUUUCGUAGUCCAUCAAUGGUGCGGUUCUGUUGCUCAAUCAUGGAGUGAGUAACAUUCUUGAAAUUCUGGAAUGCAUCCUCCUAUGGUCUAGGUUGAGAGUGGUUCUGGUUUUGAUUGUAUGGUCUGAAUGGUGGCUGAGAGGCUUGAGGAUUUUAAGGAAUUUUUUGCAUUGGUGGAACUGGAGCUGUUGGUCCAUUCUGUUGGAAUCCUUGAGACCAUGAAAAAUUAGGGUGGUAUCUCCAUCCAGGGUUAUAUGUGUUGGAAUAUGGGUUGUAAUUUGAUGGUUUUCUCAUUACACCUAUGGCAUUGGCUUGAUCUGGAUAUGAGUCAGGGUCAUGUGGCUCUGUUGAUUUAGCAGUUGAUAACGAUGCUAUUUGUCUAGAGAGACCUUCAAUUAUUGCUUUGACUUCUUUAAUUUCUGAACUGGAUUCGCCAAUGUGAACCUCAUUUACUCCCUUAAUUCUUCUAGUAUUCUUGAGUGAUCGACUCCGUUGUUGGGAAUUAUCCGCUUGUCGCUGGAAGAAUUCCCAAAUCUCUGAUGCACUUUUUGACAUUAGCUCUCCUCCACUUGUUGCCAUUAUCCAUUCUUGCACAUUCGGCAAUAAUCCCUCUAAAAAGUAUUGGCAUUGGUGGCAAUUCUCGUACCCAUGAUGUGGAGACUUCAAGAGUAGCCCAUUGAAUCGCUCCCAUGUUUCGAAAAAUUGCUCGUCCUCUCUUUGGGUAAACUCCGAGAUUUCCGUGCGAAUAGCAUUGGUUUUAUGCACUGGAAAAUAUUUAUUCAAAAAUUUCGUUACCAUUUGUUCCCAUGAUGCAAUGCAUUUAGCAGGCAAUGUAUUAAGCCAUGAACGAGCUCUAUCCUUUAAAGAAAAUGGGAAUAAUCUGAGUUUUACAUCAUCAUCUGAAAAAUUCUCAUAUUUAAAUGUUUGACAAAUAGCAUGAAAAUCAUUCAAAUAAUUAUAUGGGUCCUCAUUUUCUAGGCCAUAGAAUGUUGGGAGACAAUUUAGCACACUAGGUUUUAGUUCAAAACUCCUAGCAGCUACAUUUGGGUAUCUUAUGCAUGAUGUGCUCGAAUUAGCUAAAGGACUGAAGUAGUCCUUAAAUGGCCUCUCCUGUGGUUGCAAAUCCAUUUUAUUUUUAACUUGUUUGUGUGUGCGAAGUGUUUUCUCAAGUUCAAGGUCUAUAGGUUCAAGAUUCAAGGCGGAUGUACGGUACAGCAGUAAUUUAUAAAUUACAGAAUUUUAAAGAAGAGAAAAAGAAAAGAAAUACUAAACUUUAAAUAUAGAUUCACUUUUUUUUUCUUUUUUUAAUAAUAAAAAAAAUACAAGCAAAUAAAUAAAAGAAAUUAUUCACAAAAAUUAAUUUUACGAAUUAAAAUAACGAAUCUAUUGUAGAAUAGACUAAUGGUGACGAGUGUCGAUCCCAUGAGGAGGUGGAUUUUAAUUGUGUGUAGAAUUAAUUUUGUAAAUGGGUGGUUGGAUUUGUGGUGAAAAUGAUUUUGAUUAUCCUAAAAUUGGAAUUGAAAUGGCUAGAAUAAAUUGAAGAUAAAUCUAUUGAAAUGACGUACUUUGGUAUCUGGAUCCGUAUCAACAUGCACCAUGGGCUAAAUAUUCCUUAUUAAUGAAUCCACACCUCAUGAACCACACUCUAAUCAAUAUGGUGCUAAGGGGUUAUCGUGCCAAAUAAUAAUAACCUUGUAAUAGGGGGCCGGUGAAACCAAGGCGGUACUAGACAAGAUUAGUAUUAUUUGUCGACGAGAAGUCAAAACAUCCACAAAAAUUAGAGGGGAAGAGAAAGUAAAUUUACCAAAUAAAGCCCAUGACACAUGUUGAGACUUCACCUUCAACCCAAGCUUGAAAGAAAAUUAGCUACUCAUAAUUGAACUAGGGGCAAAAUAGAAAUUUAUUAAAAUACAUAGAAAAUACAAGAUGGAGAAGGAAUUACAGAAAAUGGAUCCCAAAAAUGGAUUCAGAGCUCUCAAAUUAGGGGGGGAGGCCCCCCUUUUAUAGAUACAUGGAGUAAAUCAUGGCCAUCGGAUUAAAAACAGUUUAGACGCUCAGGAUUGCGCCACGUCAUCAGUCAACAAUACGCGGUUUGACCACGCGGAUGAAUAAUAACACGGUUUGACCCGGGUAUAAUCCUGUGUGAUGCAUGUACCGUACGCGAGAUUUUUCGUCCACUGAUAUGCUGCCACGUCACCAUCAACAGUACAUAAGAAUUUUAGUCCAACAGGAUCGUGACACCUCAUCAGUCAAUGCCACAUCAUCGGUCAAUGCCACGUCAUCGAUCCGUCUAUGUGAACAGUGCCGUGAACAGUAACAUAUACAGUACCGUAUACGUGAAUAGUACCGUACAUGUGAAUAGUGCCAAUGUCCGUUUUGCCGUCUGAUCUCUCGUUUAUUGUGAAAUGACCAUGAUGCCCCUAAAAUACAUAACAUACUUAAUUAAAAUAAAACACACAUAAUUAAAUUACAAGAAGCUUAAAUACAUAAAAGUAAGGGUUGUUAGUAAGACUUGAAAUGUAAAAUGACGAUUUUCUCCUUUAUAAAUAUGCAUUUUCUAACACUCAAAGCCCAACAUAUCAAAGCUACUGGUCAUGGAUAUCAUCCAUCAUCACCAAAGGUGAUUCCUGAACCAUCGAGACUUCCUCAUCUGACAGCUCCUUCCCAUCAUCUCCACUCAUUGGAACAACGGGGUGUGUAUAAUCAUGAUCAAAAGCAUUUACAGUAAAGACAUGACGGUCAUCUAGGGGGUCAGCCAAAGGUUGGGGGUCCAGAUCCUCAUGAUUUUUAUGCUCCGUGCCCACACCUUUCAUAUUUCCAUAACAAAGAAUUUGUGAAGAAAAGACCACAGUGUGCUUUGUAGGAUCCAAAGUGGUAGCUACAGGAGGAGUUUGUUGGUUAUUAGGAGCAGCAUGUGUACUGGGGCAAUGGAUUUGGCUAGGGUUGUCAUGGGGUGUGGAAAUAAUAGUUUUUUCUCUUAUGUGGAGGGCAGUAGUCUGGAAAGGAUUGCGGGUAGGGUUCAUUGGGGUGAAAGGUUUCCUAUUUGGUAGCUUCGAAGCAGCAAAUUUUGGAGUCUACUGAUGUCUAACAGGAGGCUUAAAUACUUUAUCAUUGUUAAAGGUAAAUAUCGGAUUUGAGCUGGGUGGACUAGGUUGUUUUGAGGUUGAGGGGACGUCUGUGGAAGCGUCAUGCAGAGGGUUUUCAUGCAGAUCCGUCAUCUGAGCUAGAAUAUGAAACCUUGACUCACUCGCCCCAUUAGGUUCACGGUUUUGACCAUUGUUUGGCUUCCUUCCUUUCCUAGUUACAAUCAUCCAAGGGCCGAAAGGCUCAACCAUAACAGCAUCUUCACGGUUAGCUUAUGGAGAGGUAGGAUCCUCCCGACUUUGCACACCAGCUGGAGGCUGUGCAACGUUAUCAGAAUUUCUCUCAGCAGCCGAACUCUUACAGUUAUUGCUAUUAUGACCGUACCUCCCAUAAGCAAAACAAAUUACAGGCAAACCUUCGUACUCUACCUUUUGGAUCCUUCUAUCCAAUUCAAACUGAGAAACUAAAGGCUUGUCUAGGGAAACACUUACUGUAAGGCGAGCAAACCUUCCGCGAGUAGAAGAAGCAGUGUUUGAGUCUAUUUUGAUCACCGUACCCACUAUCUGACUAAGUUUUUGCAGAACUUUCUGGUUGUAAAGAUGGACUGCAAGGCCAGGUAAGCGAAUCCAUACAGUGACUUGGUCAAGAACUGUUUUGGUGAAAUCAAAAGAAGGUGACCAUGGCUGGACUGUUAAGUAAUGCCCCAUUAUAAUCCAAGGGCCUUUAGUUAGGGCAUCAACCGCAUCCCUAGCAGAUCGAAAACGAAUCAGAAAAUAAUUAUUUUCUAAGUCAAUCACCGAGUAUGUCAUGGUUGUUCUCCACAACGCAUGUAGCCUAGUGCAUAAAUUUUUGUAGCCAAUAUUUCGGCCUAGCAACUUGACAACAACAGAGUGCUUCUACGGUUCACUCAGCUUUGCAUGAACCCUAUCCGAAAAACUUAUUGACGGCAAGGUUCCAUCGUUACGCUCAACCACAUCUCCUUCCUCAAAAUCCCAGUCCACUGCACCUCUUCCAAAUCCAUUCUCCAUUGUUUGUGAUGAAUUCACAAGUGUUUCUUUGUAGGAGACCUGUUUAGUAGUUUCACUAUCAUUCUCCUCAUCACGAAAGCGUGCCUUUUAGGUCAUUCUAGCUUCCCUAAACGGCGGCGGAAAAGCCUCGCCGAAGUUAGGGUUUUCGCCACCUCCGAGAUUUUCGGAGUUUUCAUCCAUCUUUUUUACGAAGUCUACUAUAUUAAGUUGUCUUUUUACAAUUAACUAUUCUUUGAUCAAGACUUGAAGCUUUUUAUUUACCUUGGAAUGUUUUCAAAAUCAAUUGGCUGCUAGGCUCCACCAUGUCCAAUAAGAUUAGGCACACUUUGACUUUGUCUCGCCUCGAGCUAGCUUCGAGACUUAGAGCAUUUUAUUUGCCUUAGAAUGUUUUCAAAAUUAUUGGCUACUCUGCUCCAUCUUGUCAAGCAAGAUUAGGCAAAUUUUUACUCUGUCUCGUCAUGAGCAGGCUUCGAGACUUAAAGUUUUUAUUUGCCUUCAAAAAUUUUCAAAAUCAAUUGGCUGCUUGGCUCUACCUUGUCGAGCAGGAUUAGGCAAACUUUAACUCUAUCUAGCCUUGAGCAGGCUUUGAGACUUGAAGCUUUUUAUUUUCCUUGAAAUAUUUUCAAAAUCGAUUGGCUGCUCGGCUCAACCUUUUCGAGCAAGAUUAGGCAAACUUUGACCCUAUCUCGCCUUUUAUGUGCCUUAGCCUUUUAUUUACCUUGGAAUAUUUUCAAAGUUAACUACCUCUUCGACUUCAUCUGGUCGACUAAGUUUGGGCAAACAUAAACUUUUGUCUCGUCUCGAGUAGGCUUUGAGACUUUAAGCCUUUUACUUGCCUUAAAAUAAUUUAUAAGCAGAAAGAUAAUUCAGUUGAAUGGGUCUAUUCAUGCCCACUCCACUCGUUGUUCAUAAGUUACAGAUCAUAAAUAAAUACCACUACAAUCAAUUAAAUCAUUACAAAGAUAAUGCUUACUAAAAGUAUUCCUUCAAGUGCUUUGCGUUCCACGACGUCUUUACUUUUCUCAUCCAUCUAUGUAGGUCAGCUUGUACGCUCUCAGGCUUGUUGCUCGUAAAAUUUUGUAUAGCUCCUCCCGGUUAGGACCGAACACGCCUUAGCUUGGAUCUUUUAUGCUUUGAUUAACCCUUUGCAAUACCUAAACACCACUUCUAAAUUGUCGCACUUGGACAUUCCAGUUGUAGUAGCAUGCAACUUUCUGUUGAUACUCAACCACUUUCCUGGAGGCUAUCUCCCUCUUUACGGCUAGUAAAUCUAGGUUCAAGCGUGUUUGCUCUUCAUUUUCUGCUCGUCAAGUAUUUUGUCCGAUGUGUGCCCAUUCUAACUUCUACAGGGACUACAACUUCAUAUCCAAAAGUUAAGGCAAACGGGGUUUCCUUUGUGGCUGUUUGUGAGUGGUUCUGUAGGCGCAUAGCACACAAGGUAAUCCAUCAGUCCACACCCCUUUCUUUUCUUCUAGUUGAGUUUUUAAGAGUUUCUUCAUAGUUUUAUUUGCUACCUAAACCUAAUUAUUUGCCUUUGGAUGGGCAUGUGAGUAGAGCCUCAGCUCUAUGCUCAAAUUUUCACAAAACUCUUUCAAAUUGUCGUAACCAAACUGUCUUCCAUUGUCUACUAUGAAGGUGUAGGGGAUCCUAUAUCUAUAUAUAACAUUCUUCAGAAAAAUCAGUUAUCUUCUUCUAUGAAUCUUCUGUAAAAUUCAACAUGACCCAAAACACUUCUAAUACAAUAUUUUAAUGUGAAAAAAUAAUUAAAAUUAAUUUAAAUUUUCGCGCCAUUUUUUAAAGUUUUGGCAGGAAAUUCGAUUAUUAUUUGUUAAUUUAUUAUUCAAUUUUGCGGGAAAUUAUUUAUGACAGAAUUUAUGAUGGAUGUUUCCUAUCGUAAAAUAAUAUAAUUUUUUAAAAACAUUUUAUAAUUGUAAUUUGUUGAUAAAUUCCUAUUUCUUAAUAAAAUGAAUACCACUUAAAAAAACCAGGAAACAAUUAACAUUGCUCAACAUUCGUUCAAUCCAAUAAAUAAAAUUUAAAAAAUACAUAAAAAGUCCAAUGUGAUACAUAAUAAAGCAUCUCAGAAUUUAAAAAAAAAAACAUCUCAAAAUAUAAAACAACUAUUAAAUUCCAAUGCAUCUACAACAAAAGCAACUAAAAUUCCAGCCACUAAGCCAAGUUUCUCAACAAAAAUUGCAAAGAUUAAUGCAAGACUUCUAAGAGUUCUAGCUCUCUUAACUUCAGCCACAAAGCCAAGUUUCUCGACACUCCAAUUCCAGCCAUGCUAGCAAUACUCCAACCCAUAUCCAGCAACCCACCAUCUUGUAAUAGCGCUCUGAUUCCAGCCAUAUAUCUAGCAACAAUCCAACCCAAACCCAGCAAACCAAUAUGCAAAAUUAAUCAAAAUACACAAAGUUAUCAAAUGCAUAACAUCUACAGUACAAUCCUUAACAAGUAAGUCAUUUCUUACAUCCGCAGUCAAGGAGUCUUUUUGGUCCUCCUUUAGCUUUUCCUAACACCGCACCAUAAAGAAACUAAUAUUGUUAAAUCAGCAUAGAUGUAAUAUCAUAACAGUUUUUGUUCUAGUUAAACUUGAUUACCAAAAUCUUAAUGACUUGUUCAGUGUCAAGGUCGUAUCUUCCAUUCUUCAGCAUCUGAGCUCUCUUCCAUAGCUCACUCCUAUCAUUUAAGUCUUCAGUGAAGGACAACAUUUGUCCAUGAGGUUCCUAAAAUCGCAACUUUUGCGCAGUAAAAUUAAAACGGACGGCGGAAGCUCUAGAAACCUCGGAUCGGCUUCAUUCAAAAACGAAAAUCAAGAGGAAAGAUUGAAGUUUAAUUACCUCACUUGCAGUUUCGAAAAAGACUUCGUGAGGUAGGAGAAAACGACUGAAAACAGCAAGCUACGAACACUGUCCAGAAAACACAGCUCUGCACGAACAGCUUCUGUUUUGCCACGAUCUGAGAUCCUUAAAGCACCCCAAUUGUGAUGCCUCUAAUUAUUCCACACUUAGAAAUUUUCUAGGAGUUCAUAGAAUUUGGAAUCUCGAAAUUUCGUUUAGAAAUGAGAGAGAUAAUCAAGAAACAUGAAUGCUAGCUCAUGAUGAUUCAUCCCCACAAAUAAAGCUCCCAUUAUGUCUAAUAAUGGCACCAAACAUUAUCAUGUGCUAGACCCACCCACUUAGCUAUUAUUUAUUGAAAGUGAUCUUAUCACUUAAAUAAAUUAUUUAAUCAAAUAAAUAAAUAGCUAAAUUAAUUAAUUUCGUAAUUAAUUAAUUAACCCCAUUUUGAUCAAAUCAAAUGGUUAAAUGUGGGCUCAUUUUGUGACAUGUUCUAAUGCUUUCUCUUAAUCCAUAUUAGAUCCAAUAAAAGCCCAAAAUUCUAAACCCAAAAUUGGUCUAGAAGUCCAUAAUCAUAUAUGAACCCGAACAUGUCCAAAAUGGUCAUUUUACAUGCUCGAUAUUAGAUAAUGUUUAAUGGAGGAUUUACGAAAUUUAUUUUGUUCCUUAAACUAUUUAUGGAACAUCUAAAUUUCUAUCUUAAAUCAUAUUUAAGAUAUAUUUAUAUAUAUAUUCAUUCUUAAUGAAUUUUAAUAUAAAUAUUGAUUUUCCUAAAAUUAGGAAAUUUAACUUCUCAUUUUCUAGUAACUCCUUUUUCAUUUCUAUUUAGUGUGUGACCUUUUAGGUUCUUAGUUAUAAGGUAGUAGAACUAUUUUAAUGAUAACUCUUUAUUCAUUAAAUGAUGCUAAACUCUUUAGUCAUCAAUUAGAACUCUUCUAAUGACCUUAAGAUGCAUUGAUAAUACGCUUUACCAAUAUUGAUCUUAAGGUUUCUACAAGUCAUGAGUGACACCUAGCAGUAUAUCACAACCAUCCAAAUAACAAGAAUUGUUGGAUCUAUAGAACCUAUUCCAUUGUAUCUCUAUGUCUUGGUCUCUUCAUCAUCCAUGUCCAAAGAAAAGCACGGCUUAUGGUUUAUUAUGUUAAGCAGUUAUGCUUUAUCUCAAAAUAAAUCUAAAUGAACUUGACAUGAAAAUAUAAUUUGAACUCCUUCAAAUAUAUUUCACCUUGGCCAAGGAUUUCUCAUGCCAAUUCAUAUUAUCUUAUAGGGACAUCCUUUUUGUAUAUUACAAAGUGAUGAAUUCCAUAUUGGCCAUACACUUGUCUUCAUACAUAGCCAACCAUGACAGCUAUUGCUAGAUCUCUUCCUUGAUUAGGAAUCAAUCAUUAUGCUUUCACAUAUCAGAGAUGUCUAUGUAUAAGACAUCUGUUAUGCCUCAGGUCUAAAGACCAUUACUAAACAUAGUGUCUAAUACAAUGUAUAAUAAGCCAUUAACACUCAAAACCAUAUGGCUUACUAUAUUUGGUCAAGUUUAGUAAACUCGUUCUCUCAACAAGUACCUAUGUGUUUGACUUGACAUCUCAUGUCAAUGAUAUGAAACUCACCAUCCUUUUUAGUAUCACAUACCAUAAGGAGUCAUAACACAUACAAGUGUUUAUAGGAAUUUAUAAUGUCCAAUCAUAAAUCCACCACUAGGAACUAUUUUAGAAGUAUAGUACAAAGGAUGCACGUUUCAUAUUCUCGACAAACUCGAGAAUGUGUUCCUUAACUAUUUUACUUCUUGGACUAUAUUCAUUAAAUUAAUUUAUGAAUAUUGAUAACUUUGCCAUUUUAUAAAUAUCAAAAUGCUAUUCAAAUACAAUAAUUCCCUAAACAAUCAAACACCAUUUGAUUGGCCUUUAGGGCAUAUUACUAACAUUCAGAAAGACUAGAUUCUGCAUGCUCGAUAAAGAAAUUAGAUUAGUUAACUAUUAAAAAAAUUUAUAGUUAAAAAUACCCUUUAUACCGAUAUAUACACACUUACAAUUUCUUUCAUUAAUCCAACAUAUCUUUUUCGAUUAAGAUGGUGAUUACACUGGUUCAAAGCUCUCCUAUUCUUAUUGACACAACUGAUUUUCUGUAUAAUAAGAAACAUCUUUUUAACAAUGUAAAUAUGAUGUAACUAUUAGCUUAUUACUCCUAACUUUAAAAUACUUACUUUAAAUGAUUUGGACAAAUUUUCGUCGACAAAUUUUAUUCAAACAUGCCUCUUUAUUUGGGGGUAAUCAAUUGGCAGUGAAUACAGUUCCUUUUUAUCAUUUUUGAACUUCCAAAUAUAGUUUUUUGUUUGCAUAUACUUGAAGUUUCGAAAUGUUGUUCUGAUUGAUUGUCUACUUGCUUCCUACUUCUAGGAUGAACAAUGAAACAAACCUAAAUAUGGAGGAAGAUUGUUAAAAUGUCAAUUAAUAAAAAAUCCAAAUCACAUAACUGAUAAGUGAAAAAUGACAACAAAAGGUUUAAGUAGAAUGCAACGAGUUUUUCAAGAAUUACAAGAACAAUUUCCACAAAUGCUCCUUUGUCUCUGGAGGAACCUUACACCAAUCGGAAUAAAGAAUUGAAACUAAAGUACAAGCCAAUACACCAAGAAAAGAGUCAACUUAGUGGCUUCAUCCCUUGUCAAAACACCCAUUUCAUUGUAUUACACCACAAUCUUUCCCUUUUUUGUUUUAAGUCUUUUAUUUUGCCUAGCACCCAUAUUCACACCCUUAUGGAGUUACUACUUUUAGGAACAUCAACAUUAGGAGCAACCAAAUUAGCACCAUCUGAAACACUAACUAGGCAACCCAAGAGGGGGGUGAAUUGGGAAUUAAAAAAUUAAAUAAAGCAAUCCACACAACAAUCCAAUAUAAUGCCUUAAUGGAAUAAAAAAUAAUAAAUUCAACAGAUCACAAUAAUAAAAUAGUAAGGGAAGAGAAAAACAAACACAAGGAUUUUUAUGUGGUUCAGUAACCUCUGCCUACGUCUAUGCCUCUAAGCUCACUCGGCUUGAGGAUUUCACUAUCCAAGCCUCCUAAGGCUUCAAAUGCUUACAAUUGACUUCCAAUGUGUCAAUGGACCUUUAUAACAAGAGAUUAUCCCUAAUCUCUCAAUCCAAGUGUAUCACAAUACUUUCAACCUCUCAACUUGAUUUUACAAAAAGGAUUACAAAUGAAUUUCUCUCACACAAUGUGUUUGAUCACAAAUAAAAGCUCAAUGUAUGAAUGAAUGAGAUGAAUACAAGAAUCUAAAACUCAAUGAAAGUUGUUUGCUCAAUAGCUUGCUCAAUGACAAUAGUUGGAAUCACUGUUAUUUGUGUUUAAGUGAGCCUUUUUAUAGUUUGAGCUGAAAACUAGCCGUUAGAGAUAAUUUGCUCGAAGUCGGAUCGCUGUUAUCUUGAAGUCGGAUCGUCGUUUUGACUUGAGCAAGUUACCGUUGGACAGAUUUUUAAAUUGUCGGAUCGUUGUUUUCAAGAUGUCGGAUCAAUGUGGGCUAGCCGUUAUCAAGAUGUCAGUUAGCCUUUUGCUACAGUAACUGCUACAGUGAAUUAUUUUCCAUAAUUAUAGUUUUACCUCAAAACUUUAUAAAAUUAUACUAUAGCCUAAAACUAUAUGAAACUUCUCAAAUAAGGUCAUUUCCAGAAUUUUAAGCAAUACUUGUUAUUUCAAAGUUUUUAAAACUUUUCAAUUAGAUCAUGAACUUGAAGAACAACUAAUUUCAUAAAAUCAUUUUUCUAUUAAAUAUAAAACAUUUAUAUUAUGAAGAUAAUAAUUUAUUUAAAAAGCAUGAAAAAUAAUUUGAGCUUUUAAAAACUUAAUCAUUCUUAAUUUUAUUUGUUAUCAUCAAAAUCAAUAUUAUGGAUACAUAAAUGUUAACACCAUCUCUCUUAACACCAUCCAAAUCAUAUCCUCCCAAAUCAGCACCAUCAAAAUCACCUCCAUCUAUCUCAGCACCAGCCAAUUCAGCAACACCAUCCAAAUCAACCUCAUCUUUUUCACCUUCUAAAUCAACAUUAUUAGCAAAUAAGGUGUAGUAAUCAUCUUUUAAAUUAUAGUCCUGAUCAAAAGCACCAUCAACCAUAGUAUAUUUUCCCUUAGCCAUAUUACUGCCCCUGAAAUAAACAAAUGAAUAACAUUAGUUAAAUGAUUUUAUCAAACUAUAUAACAAUCAAUCAACUGCACGAACAAAAAGCUAAUCAAUUUAAUAUCAUAUAAAUUUGUAACCCAAAAAUAACAUACGGUAAAUAGUUAAAAAAACACUUACUGUAAAAAGCUAAUCAAUUUGUAACCCAAAUUCCCUUUUUGUUGUUACAUGCAUAGAUCAUUCAAUCGCCGUUAGUGGAAUAUACAAAUCAUUAGUUGGUAAUUUUGUAGUGAGUGGAGGAUAUUCUAUCACAUUAUUAACUUCAUCUUCAUUUAUUUGUUUGGGUUACUUCUAAUUGGCAUAUGACAUACAAUAGACCAUUUUGUUUGAAUUUGAUCAUUUAUAUAAAAUACUUGCUUGGCUUAAGAAGCUAAUAUAAAUGGACUAAAUUUAUAUCCUAAUCUGUUUAAGUCUACUAAGAUGAAUCCAAGCUCAUCUUUCUUGAGCAACUGUUUUGAACCCAAUCACACUUUAACACAGGGACUGUUAACAAAUGAUAGUCAAGUACUUAAAUCUUUAACUAUAACUCCAUAAUAUGUCAUGUCACAUAUUUCAUAAUCAACUACACUAACUCCACUAUUUUGAGUUACACGACUUGAGUCUCGGUCUCGUGUAACAAAAUGGAAACCAUUGACGUGGUAACCCUUACCUUUAGUUACAAAAAGAAAAGGCCCCUAUGAUAACCAAUGUAAGGUAUCCGAUACAUGAUCACCCUUUUCAAUUACAUCAUAUACCUAGCAUCAGAAAAAGGAUAAGUAAAUAUCUUCGCAAGGUGGGGGGAAAAAGGGAUUGACAAACUUUGUAAAAAUUAAUGAUAUAUAUGCUUCAACCUUAUUAGCUAGCCAAUCAAAAAAUGUACAAUUGUGUUCCUCUUGCAAUCCUUGUCAUUUUGAUGUGGAUAACAUGUUUUAAGCUAAUCCAUAUGGUCACUAAAGAUUCAAAACAUGAAAAAUUAGGUUUCAGAUUAGAAAAUAAAACAUAUAGAUUUGAUUAUAACAAAUCAAGCAAAUUACCUAAUUUAUGGUACAAUUUCUUGUGUGCUAUGCAAGAUGUACAUGUGUGCUUCAUCUAGCAAAUUUGUAGGAAUUUGUACCACUUUCCGACCACAUAAUGGCUUAUCUUUUGAUAGCUUUUGCAUAUGUUGAGGUGGAACCCCAACUGUACUCAUGUUUGACAUAUAUUCUGCACAAAAUUCUAAUGCUUCUUCCGCAAUAUAAUUCUCCACUAUACAACCCUCAGGACGGUUACAGUUUUAGACAUAACGUUUAAAGGUUUUCAUGUAUCUUUCAAAUGGAUACAUCCACCGAAGAUAAACUAGGCUACAUAAUCUAACUUCAUUAACUAAAUGCACAGUCAAGUGCACCAUAAUGUCAAAGAAUGAAGGAGGACAACAUUUUUCUAACAAGCAUAAGGUCACCACAUGGUUUGCCUGUAAUUUAUCCAAUGUUUUCACAUCAACCACAUUGGAACACAACAAAAUAAAGAAGCAACACAGCUUGAUCAAAGCUUCUUUCACAUGUUUUGGCAAGACAUACCUAAUGGCAAUAGGUAAAAGUUGUUGCAUAAGAACAUGGCAGUCAUGUGACUUUAGGCCCUAAAGUUUAAGGUUCUUUAUUGACACAAGAUUUCUAAUGUUUGAGGAAUAUCCAACAGGAACUUUAAUACUUUUCAAAGCUUUGCAGAACUUUGUCUUUUCAUCUUUAGUUAAUGUGUAACAAGCUUUAGGAAAGAAGGUGUGCUUGUUCUUUUUUAAAGUUGGUGCUAGUUCACUCCUAAUUUUUAAGUCCACAAGAUCAUUCUUUAACUUAAGACCAUCUUUAGUCUUUCUCGGAAUAUGGAGUAGUGUUCUAUAGAUGCUUUUGCACACAUUCUUUUCAAUAUACAUAACAUAUAAUUAAUGACGCACAAGUAAAUGCUUCCAAUACUCUAAAUUAUACAAUGUAAAUUUUUUUCCACCAUAUACAGUCAUCAUUGUCGAAACCUUUGCAUUUUAAUGACUUGUUCUUCCCCUCUAUAAUCAAUAGACUGAACCAACCGUAAAAUACCCUUACCAUUCAACAGUUUUGGAGCAAACUCUCUCUCUAUUGUGUUGUCAAAGGCUUUACAUUGGUCACGGAAUUCGUGACCAUAAGGAAGCCAAUAACAGUGGCUGAUAUAUGCAUUUUUACCACUGUGUUUAAGUCUACAUAAUACUACACCACAAUAUGGACAAGCAUUAUAUUCUUUAACAGUGUAACCAGCUAGAUUUCCAUACGCCGAAAAGUUGUUUAUAACACAGCCCGUAUAUUAAAAAACUCCUUUCUAUAGGCAUUAUAAGCGUCCACCACAACUUCCAACAAAGUUUUCCAAUCUUCUUUCAGAGGUGCUAAGUACAUAUCAAUGUCAUUGAACAGUUGUUGAGGACCAAAAAUCAGUAUGGACAACAUCAUGAAUUUUCAUUUCAUAUACAACCAUAGAGGAAGAUUGUACAUUAUCAGAAUAACUGGCCAACGAUUAUAUGUACUACUAAGAGAGCUAUGCGGAUUUACUCCAUCAGUUGAUAAGGCAAGGCGAAGAUUUCUAUAAUCUAAUGUAAAAGUUGGUCAUUUGCUAUCUAAUAAUUUCCAUGAUGGUGAGUCUGCCGGGUGUCGGAGCUUACCAUCACCGACUCUCUCAUUUGCAUGCCAAGUCAAGUCUUUGGCAAUUUGUGAGAAUUGAAACAUGCGCUUAAAUCUAAAUAUAGGCGGAAAAUACCAUUAAAGCUUCACAAGACCCCAUUUCUUAUACUGGUCAACACAACCUUUUUUUUUUCCAUUUAGAUAAACCACAACUAGGACAUUCACAGAGCCUUUCAUACUCUUUUCUGUAGAGCAUGCAAUCAAUUGGGCACAUCAUCUGAUAAUUUGAUCUGCAUAAUACUUGAAUAGAUAAGGGUCAUCCCAAAAGAAAUUCUUUACUUUUGCAAAGAAUUUAGCCUUGUCUUGCUUGGUUCAAUGCUCUGGAAGUUAACCUGUAACAAGAUAAUUAACUAUAUUAGCAUACCACGGUAAUACUUCCACAUUCAUUAAUUAUUCAUCUAGAAAUGACUCAUUCAAUAUCAAUGGUUCUGUAAUUAUGUCAAAAUUGAGACGAGAGAGAUGGUCUGCCACGACAUUUUUUGUGCUUUUCUUAUCUUUAAAUUCCAAGUCGAAUUCCUACAAAAGUAACACCUAGCGAAUUAGCCUAGCUUUUGCAUCUUUGUUUGUGAGAAGAUAUUUAAGAGCAGCAUGAUCUGUGAAUAUAAUUAUUUUACAACCAAUGAGAUAAGAUCAAAAUUUCUCUAAUGCAAACACUACUGCUAGCAUUUAUUUUUCAGUAGUUGAAUAAUUCAACUGUGCAUCAUUCAAUGUCAUACUAGCAUAGUAAAUAACAUGGGAAAUUCGAUCAACUCUUUGUCCUAAUACUGCUCCUACUGCAUAAUCAGAUGCAUCACACAUGAGCUCAAAUGCUAAGCUCUAGUUUGGGGGCUGAAUGAUGGGUGAUGACUGUUAGUGUAUAAAUAUUAAUGCUAUUGGUGUCAAUGUGCAAGUGUACACAACAAGUAAUAAAGUGAUGAGUAUUCAAGAUCGUCUCCACAGGGAUUGAUGUUAUCACAUUUGCUAUAGCAAUCUUAACAGUGCAGAUUUUGUGCUAAAAUAAAAUAAAACAAUUAAUGAAACUAAUAUACUAAUUAAAAUAAAAACGCAAUAAAUAAAAUGCAACAAAGUAAAUUAUCACGUCAAUCUCAAGGAUAAAACUAAUAGGAAUAUAAAGUAGUUGAGUGAAUAAACUCUCCUAAUGGUCUAGACUAUUUUCUAAUGGUUGGCUCGAUUGCUGCAGUAUUUGCUACAUCACUGGGCAGAAUCCUUAUGUAUCCUCAGCCGUCGCAUGUUGGAUAUCUUAUAUCUAUAUGCAACCUAACAAUGAUCAGAUGUUAUGCCAACAUAAGAUAUAGCAUUACACGCUUAGGUUCUAUUUACCCUACAAGGUGAAUCCCUAUGUCUAGUUCAUCACUAAUUUUAGAUUAAGCAUGGCCCUUUUGGGAUAAGUUAAACUCAAUCCAGGAAACUCAAUCUAAAACCAAGUAUUGCUCUGAUAUGUCCAUUAAGAUAGGCCCUUUUGCGGCUCUCUCCUAACUUGUAUCAUUAAAUGGGUAAUCAACCAAAACAAUGAAUAAAAAUAAAUACUAUCAAAACAAACUGCUACAACAAACAUGCAGCAACACAUAUAUUCAGUCAAUAAACCAUCAAGAUUGUUUAUCACUCAACCACAAAUAAAUUUAGUUCACGGUUUGCAAAAGAAAAAUAAAUAACAAAGUUUCAGCCAUGAAACACAUCCCCAUAAAUAAAUAAAAAAACGAGAAAACAAGAGAAGAAUAAGAAGGUUUGAGCUCCCAAUUGAUUUCUGCAAAUUCUCCUCUUGUGUAGCCUUCAAUCUCUCUCUUGAAUCUUCCUUUUCUUUUGUUUCUUUAUGUUUUUCUCCUUGGGUGAUGGCUCUCCUCUUUCCUUAUGAUGUGUGCUUCUUUUAUAGUUGAAAAUUAGGGUAAACGGAAGCCUAGGUCACGCAUAAGUUAGAUUAGGAAACUGCAGAUCGCAAUUCUGCAAGUAUCCCGCACGGAAUUUUCUCUGUCGUUGUUCCAGGAUUGCUACAGCAAUGGCUACAGCAACUGCACUGUUCCAGAUUUGUUUCAAUUCUUUUAUAACCAUGUUCUUCCUCUUUUUUGCCAGCCUAUUGCAUCAGCAUUCCUUCCAUGAAUUAUAAGCUUCUAGAAACCUACAAUUAUGCACACAAUUUAAGCACGAAUUACUUUAGAUCAAGCAAAACUCAUUAAGACUAAACUAAAAUGAAUAUUUAUGUAAAAUGUAACAAAAAAUGCAAUAGAAACACAUCAUUUACUCUAUAAGUAAUAUUAAUUUAAGUCUAAAAGUGCUACGAUAACUCUCAUUUCAUAGAGUUAUCAAUGACAUCAACAACUGUUUCAAUUUUUCAAAUGCCACAAGACAUGAAUCAUCAAAGAUAAAAGGUUCAUCCUUAGCAAGUAGAUUGCAUAAGGGUCUAGAAACUUUACUAAAAUCUUUAAUGAAACGUCUAUAAAAUCCAGCAUGCCCAAAGAAAGAUCUUACUUCUCUAACUAUUUUAGGUGGAGGAAGUUUGGAAAUAAGAUCCAACUUGGCUUUGUCAACCUCAAUACCUUUGUUCAAAAUGAUGUGACCAAGAACAAUACCUUGUUUUACCAUAAAAUGACACUUCUCCCAAUUUAAGACUAAGUUCUUCUCGAUACAUCUCUGCAGAACUAGUUUUAGAUGAUGUAACCAUUGAUAAAAUGAAUCACCAAAGAAAUAAAAGUCAUCAAUAAAGACUUCAAGGAAUCGUUCAACCAUAUCAGAAAAAAUACUUAACAUGCAUCGUUGAAAUGUAGCAGGAGCAUUACAUAAUCCAAAUGGCAUUCUCCUAUAUGCAAAAGGGCAAGUGAAAGUGUUCUUAUCUUGAUCUUUUGGUGCUAUGAGAAUCUGAUUGUAUCCUGAGUAGCCAUCUAGAAAGUAAAAAAAUUCAUGGCCUGCUAAUCUAUCAAGUAUUUGAUCGAUAAAUGGUAAAGGAAAAUGGUCUUUACGUGUGACAGAAUUCAACUUUCUAUAAUCAAUGCAUACACGCCAUCUAUAGUUACUCUAGUUGGUAUCAAUUCAUUAUUAGCAUUGGUAACUUCUGUGACUCCUGACGUUUUGGGGACAACUUGCACAGGACUGACGCAUGAACUAUCAAAAAUGGGAUAAAUAAUACCUGCAUCUAAUAGUUUAAGGACUUCAUUUCUAACAACUUCUUUCAUGUUAGGAUUUAACCGACGUUGCAUUUCCCUAGUAGGCUUAGCAUUUUCAUCAAGGUGAAUGUAAUGCAUGCAAUAUACUGGGUUUAUACCUUUUAUGUCUCCUAUGGUCCAUCAUAAUGCUCCUUUGUGUACUUUUAAUACUUCCAACAACUUACCUUUUUGUUCGUCAUUUAGGGAUGAUGAGAUGAUUACCUGUAGAGUGCUUUCUUCUCCCAAAAAUGCAUAUUCCAAAGUGUUGGGUAAUAGUUUAAGCUCGAGUUUCGGUGGUGAUUCUGAUGAUGGGUUGAGUUUCUUCUCUGAUGGUGCUAGUUGUUCAACUCUUGACUUCUAUUUAUUAGUGUUCAUGGAUGGUGCUGAGUCAAGUAGGGCGUUGAUCUCAUCGACUGAUCUAUCAAUAUCAAAAUCCAAACCAAAGUGAGUUAAACAUGUUUGUAAAGAAUCAUCACUAAGGUUUGAAAGAAAAGUAUUAUCAACUAAUGUUUCUAUUAAAUCCACAUUAACAAUUCCAUCAUCUGCAUUGUGAGGUUGUUUGGUAAUGUUGAAGAUAUUUAGCUCCAUAGUCAUGUUGUCAAAGGACAACUGUAUAUUUUCAGUCCUGCAUUGAAUGUGAGCAUCGGCAGUUGCCAAGAAGGGUCGGCCUAGGAUAAAAGGGAUGUACUUCCUUGAAUCAUGUAUUGGUUGAGUGUCAAUUACAAUGAAAUCAACAGGAAAAUAAAACUUGUCUACCUGGAUAAGCACGUCCUCCACAAUACCACGAGGUAUUUUGGUAGACCGAUCUGCAAGUUGUAACACCACUGGAGUUGGGUGUAAUUCUCCUAGUCCAAGUUUCACAAACACUAAGUAAGGUAACAGAUUUACAUUAGCUCCUAAGUCCAAUAAAGCAUUCUCAAUUGUGUGGUUUCCUAUGCUACAUGAGAUAGUGGGGGAGCCUAGGUCUUUGCAUUUUAGAGGAAUUUUGUGUUGGAGUAUCGAACUAACGUUUUCUAUUAAAAAGGCCUUUUUUUGAACAUGAAUAUUUCUCUUUUUAGUACAAAGGUCUUUAAGAAACUUGGCAUAAGAUUGCACUUGUUUUAUAGCAUCAAGCAAAGGGAUAUUAAUAUUUACCUGUUUGAAGAUUUCAAGAAUCUCACUUAUGGAUUUUCCCUUCUUUCCUUUAACUAACCUCUGAGGAAAUGAAGCUUUAGGAUUGUAUUCUCGUGGGUUGGUUUCUUCUUUCUCCUCUGACGGUGAGUCCUCAACGUUCACAUGUACACUUUGAUUUGUUUUCGUCACCGACAUCUCUACUUUAUUGUCGACUUCUUUCCAUUUUCGCAAGGUCAUAACGGCUUUGACCUCUCCAUGCUGCUGUAGUGAACUGGUACUUACUUCAUGUACUCUUUUAGGAUUGGGCAUAGGUUGACUUGGGAAUUUGCCUUUCUCAGCAAUCAUUACCAAAGUUUAAACUGAAGAGGCAAGCUGUCCCACCAUCUUCUCGAGGUUUGAAACUGAUUGGGCUUGUGAGUUGAAGCCUGCUCUCAUCUCAUUUCGUAUUUCAUCAAUGGUCCGAUUCUGUUGCUCGAUCAUGGAGUGAGUAAGAUUUUUUAAGUACUGGAAUGCAUCCUCCCAUGGUCUGGAUUGAGAGUAGUUCGGGUUUUGAUUGUAUGGUCUAAAUGGGGGCUGAGAUACUUGAGGAACUUGAGGAAUUGAUUGCAUUAGUGGAGUUGGAGCUGUUGGUCCAUUUUGUUGGAAUCCUUGAGACCAUGAAAAAUUAGGGUGGUAUCUCCAUCCAAGGUUAUAUGUGUUGGAAUAUGGGUUGUAAUUUGAUGGCUUUCUCAUUACUCCUAUGGCAUUGGCUUGAUCUGAGUAUGAGUCAUGGUCAUGUGCUUCUUGUGAUUUAGCAGUCUUUAAUGAUGCUAUUUGUCGAGAAAGUCCAUCAACCAUUUCUUUGACUUCUUUAAUUCCUGAACUUGACUCGCCAAUGUGAACCUCAUUUAAUCCUUUAAUCCUUUUAGUAUUCCCGAGUGAUCGACUCCGUUGUUGGGAAUUAUCCGCUUGUCACUGGAAGAAAUCCCAAAUCUCUGAAGCACUUUUUGACAUUAGCUCUCCUCCACUUGUUGUCAUUAGCCAUUCUUGCACAUGUGGCAAAAAUCUCUCCAAAAAGUAUUGGCAUUGAUGUCAUUUCUCACACCCAUGAUGUGGACACUUCAAGAGUAGCCCAUUGAAUCGCUCUCAUGUUUCGAAAAACUGCUCGUCUUCUCUCUGGGUGAACUCUGAAAUUUCCCUAUGAAUAGCAUUAGUUUUAUGCAUUGGAAAAUAUUUAUUCAAAAAUUUUGUUCCCAUGAUGUUAUACUAUUACCAGGCAAUGUAUUGAGUAAUGAACGAGCUCUAUCCUUUAAAGAAAAUGGGAAUAAUAUGAGUUUAACAUCAUCGUCUGAAAAUUCUCAUAUUUAAAAGUUUGACAAACAGCAUGAAAAUCAUUCAGAUGAUUAUAUGGGUCCUCAUUUUCUAGGCCAUAGAAUGUUGGGAGACAAUUUAGCACACUAGGUUUUAAUUCAAAACUCCUAGCAACUACAUUUGGAUAUCUUAUGCAUGAUGUGCGCAAAUUAGCUAAGGGACUGAAAUAGUCUUUAAAUGGCCUCUCUUGUGGUGCUUCUUGUUGUUUUUGCAAAUCCAUUUCAAUUUUAUCUUUAAUUACAACGUGUUUGUGUGUCGAAGUGUUUUCUCGAGUUCAAGGUCUAUAGGCUCAAGAUUAGGUAAUAAUGACCUUCGACCAUGCAUGCAAACAACACAAAAAUAAAUGGGAACAAAAUAAUUAAAAAUAAAGAAGAAUGAGAAAUUAUGAUACUAAUCUUAUCGCGUUGUUACAACCUUACUAUAAAAACAUACUAAAAAAAAUACGUGAAAUAAAUUAACGAAAAAUAAAUUAAUAAGAUAAACGAAAAAUUACAAAGAAAAAUAAAAAAUAAAAUUACAGAAUUUUAAAGAAUAAAGAAAGAAAAGAAAUUCUUACCUCUAAAUGUAGAUUCACUUUUUUUUUUAAAUAAGAAAAAUUACAACAAAACAAUUAAAAGAAAUUAUUUACAAAAUUAAUUCUACGAAUUAAAAUAACUUACCUCCCCAGCAACGGCGCCAAAAACUUGUUGUGCAAAUUUUAUUGAACUCGCAAGUACACGAAUCUAUUGUAGAAGAGAUUAAUGGUGACGAGUGUCGAUCCCACGAGGAGGUAGAUUUUAAUUAUGUGUAGAAUUAAUUUUCUAUGUGGGUGGUUGGAUUUGUGGUGAAAAUGAUUUGGACUAUCCUAAAAUUUAAAUUAGAAUGUCGAGAAUAAAUUGAAGAGAAAUCUAUUAAAAUGACGUACUUGGGUAUCUGGAUCUGCGUCAACAUGCACCAUGGGCUAAAUAUUUCUUAUUAAUGCCAAUAAAUCAUGAGGGGGGAUUCCACACCUCAUGAACCACACUCUAAUCAAUAUGGUGCUAAGGGUUUAUCGUGCCAAAUAAUAAUAACCUUGUAUUAGGGAGUCGGUGAAACCAGGGCAGUAUCUAGACAAGAUUAUUACUAUUUGCCGACGAAAAGUCAAAACAUCCACAAAAAUUAGAGGGGAAGAGAAAGUAAAUUUACUAAUUAAAGCCCAUGGCACAUGUUGAGACUUCACCUUCAACCCAAGUUUGAAAGAAAAUUAGCUACUCAUAAUUGAAUUAGGGGUAAAUGGGAAUUUAUUAAAAUACGUAGAAAAUACAAGAUGGAGAAAGAAUUACUGAAAAUGAAGCUCAAAAAUGAAUUCAGAGAUCCCAAAUUAGGGGGGGAGCCCCCCUUUUUAUAGAUACACUGAGUAAAUCACGGCCAUCGGAUUAAAAAUAUUUGGAUGCUUAGGAUUGUGCCACGUCAUCAGUAAACAGUACGCGGUUUGACCAUGUGGUUUGAAUAGUGACACGGUUUGACCACGCUGUUUGAACAGUCAGGCGACUUGAAUAGUGACGCGAUUUGGUUGAAAAUAACCUUGUGUAUAUGCAUGUACCGUACCCACAAUUUUUGGUCCACUAAUAUGCUGCCACGUUACCAACCAACAGUGCAUAAGAAUUUUAGUCCAAUGGAAUCGUGACACCUCAUCAGUCAAUGCCACAUCAUCGGUCAAUGCUACGUCAUCGUUGCGUAUGUGUGAAUAAUAACAUGGACAGUAUCGUGUAUGUGAAUAGUACCGUACAUGUGAACAGUGUCAUCAGUAAACAGUACGCGGUUUGACCAUGUGGUUGGAAUAGUGACACGGUUUGACCACGCUGUUUGAACAGUCAGGCGGCUUGAAUAGUGACGCGAUUUGGUUGAAAAUAACCUUGUGUAUAUGCAUGUACCGUACCCACAAUUUUUGGUCCACUAAUAUGCUGCCACGUUACCAACCAACAGUGCAUAAGAAUUUUAGUCCAAUGGAAUCGUGACACCUCAUCAGUCAAUGCCACAUCAUCGGUCAAUGCUACGUCAUCGUUGCGUAUGUGUGAAUAAUAACAUGGACAGUAUCGUGUAUGUGAAUAGUACCGUACAUGUGAACAGUGUCAUUUUUCCUUUUAUGCUUCUCCUAAGGUUUUCGACUGUCCUAAGUUCGAAAGUGAUGUCCGUUUUGCUGUCUGAUCUCUUAUUCAUUUUGAAAUGACCAUGAUGCCCCUAAAAUACAUAAAAUACUUAAUUAAAAUACAAUACACAUAAUUAAAUCACAAGGAUGUUAAAUUCAUAAAAGUAAAGGUGUUAGUAAAACUUAUAGUGUAAAAUGAUGAUUUUCUCCUUUAUAAAUAUACAUUUUCUAACACUCAACACACCCCCCAACCAGCUUAUUGCUAGUCCUUAGCAAAUAAAGCGAAAACAAAAUUCAAAACCAAAAUGAUUUUUUAUUUUUAUUUUUAUUUAGAAACACUCGUAUUUAUUCAAUCAGAUUAAUGAUAGUAAUCAAAUAAAAGUAUAAGCAUUAUCUCCAGCUUAAAGCAAUAUCACACCCACAUCAACCAUCCCCAUGAAUCAGCCCAGUAGACUUUGUCAUAGCUACUUUCAAGAAUGACAUGUUAAACCCCAAAAUCUCACUGGAAGUAGUGACACUCUCACAAANNNNNNNNNNNNNNNNNNNNNNNNNNNNNNNNNNNNNNNNNNNNNNNNNNNNNNNNNNNNNNNNNNNNNNNNNNNNNNNNNNNNNNNNNNNNNNNNNNNNNNNNNNNNNNNNNNNNNNNNNNNNNNNNNNNNNNNNNNNNNNNNNNNNNNNNNNNNNNNNNNNNNNNNNNNNNNNNNNNNNNNNNNNNNNNNNNNNNNNNNNNNNNNNNNNNNNNNNNNNNNNNNNNNNNNNNNNNNNNNNNNNNNNNNNNNNNNNNNNNNNNNNNNNNNNNNNNNNNNNNNNNNNNNNNNNNNNNNNNNNNNNNNNNNNNNNNNNNNNNNNNNNNNNNNNNNNNNNNNNNNNNNNNNNNNNNNNNNNNNNNNNNNNNNNNNNNNNNNNNNNNNNNNNNNNNNNNNNNNNNNNNNNNNNNNNNNNNNNNNNNNNNNNNNNNNNNNNNNNNNNNNNNNNNNNNNNNNNNNNNNNNNNNNNNNNNNNNNNNNNNNNNNNNNNNNNNNNNNNNNNNNNNNNNNNNNNNNNNNNNNNNNNNNNNAUAUGCUGCUACGUCACCAUCAACAGUACAUAAGAAUUUUAGCCAACCAGGAUCGUGACACCUCAUCAGUCAAUGCCACAUCAUCCGUCAAUGCCACAUCAUCGAUCCGUCUAUGUGAACAGUGUUGUGAAUAAUAACGUAGUUAGUACCGUACACGUGAAUAAUACCGUACAUAUGAAUAGUGCUAUUUUUCCUUUUAUGCUCCUCCUAAGGUUUUUGACCGUCCUGAGUUCAAAAGUGAUGUCCGUUUUGCCGUCUCCUUUAUUGUGAAAUGACUAUAAUGCCCCUAAAAUACAUAAAAUACUUAAUUAAAAUAAAACACAUGUAAUUAAAUCACAAGAAGGUUAAAUACAUAAAAGUAAGGGUUGUUAGUAAGACUUGAAAUGUAAAAUGACGGUUUUCUCCUUUAUAAAUAUGCAUUUUCUAACACUCAACAUCAGACCACCCAAAUUUACCUUUUAUAUUGAAGAAGCUAACUAAAGUGCCUAACUUAGUGAAAUUUGUGCAUCCUUGGUAUAAAGAUUUCUCAACAUAUUCUAGAAGUUCUUUAAAUGCUUUAGGACCCACAACACAAUCCUUAUAAGCAUCGUUAACGAUAUCUACUGUGUUACCAUUAUCGUAGUCCAUGAACUCAAUCAAAACAUCUACUCCUACAUUAAAAAGUGGUGCGUCAUGGACAUCUUCCCCAUGCCAAUUCCAGGUUGUGUAAGAAACAUCAAAACCAUGAAAAUAUAAAUGUUUGCGAACAACCUUAUGUGUACAAAAUGAUAAACUCAUACAUUUAAUACAUGGACAUCUAAUGACACUACUGGCUUCGGCAUUAAGAAUAGCAAACUUCAUAAAUUUUUCAACCCAAUCUUCAUACUCUUUUGACAUUUUACUACAAUGCAUCCAUGACUUAUCCAUUUUUAAUUUCAAUUAGAUCUGAUCCUGACACAUUAAGCAAGUAGUAUAUAAAUAAAAUAUCAGAAUAUAUUAUUAAUACAUAUAUGCAAGGUACAAAUUAACAAUGACUUAAAUACCUUUGCUGCAACAUAAACAAAUGAAAAUGAGAAACAUCCAAAAACAAAUGAAAAACACAUGGAAGAAUAUAUAAACUGAAUUUUUCUUGGCACAUGCUUACCUAAAUUUUGAUCUGAUAUGAAUAAGAAUUAAGUCCAAAAAAUAUCAUGAUCACAUGCUUGGUCCAGUAAAGAACACAUAGACUAUUUGAGACCUAUAACAUUAUAUUAUUAAAUGAAAAAAUUGUUCUACUAAUAUUCUUUACCAAUGCAAACAUGGUCAAAGUCUUAAGAGUGAUCUAAUAUCUCAAGCUAUAUGAUUUGGUGAUGUCUUUUGUUUCAAAACCGAAAAGCAAGGUUGUUGUUUGUUUUACAUGUCUAAUAUUGCUUUAAGCAUGUGAUUUGGUAAUGUUUAAGUUGCUGGAAAAUUGAGAUAGUUGGUUUAUGGAUUCUCUAGAAAAUUUUAGAAUUGUUGGACUUUAUAAUAAGUUUUAUUAUUUCAAAAUGUGACUAAACUAUACUUGAUUGACUUGAAAAAGUUGAAUAUGUAUGUUUUAAGUUUGGAGAUUUUUGAAUUAAUAGUUGAUUUUUAAUGAAUUCAUCAAAUUGGUCAACUGCUGUCCAAAGUUAUCAAAAACUCUGUAUAUACCAUGUUUGCUGUUAUAAAUAAAUGUUCUAAUGGUAUCGAAAUGAGCUGAAAUUUUGAUAAAUUAAACUUUACUAUGUUUUUCAAAUUUGGAAAAUUUCAUGGUAAUUGAACUUGUUUUUUUUUUUUAUGAUUUUUUAAACCUUGUUGCUUCAAUUGUUAGCCCCUUUGACAGAGGUGUUCUCUUACUUUUGAUCUUAUGAAACACUAGCUCAAUGAUGUCGGAAUGAUAUGAAAUUUUAAUAAGUUAUGUAAUCAUAGAUCUAUCUAUGUUCUGGAAAGUUUUAUCCUAAUAUAUUAAGUAUUUUAAUUUUAAUGAAUCACUAAAUCUCAACUAUUUCUAUGUAAAUUAAAAGGCAAUUUUGAUUGGUUUAGUUUAAUCUUGUGAGACCCUAUUGUAGAGUUGUCUAAAUGGCUUCAAAUUUUAAUAUGGAAAGAAGUUAUAUACUAAGGCUGAGUUAGAUAAAGCCCAUUUUGAGUGAGCGUACCAUGUUUCUAGAAUAAUUGUUGUUGUGUGAGGUAAGCUUUAACUGGCAUUAUGUUUGGGUGCCUUAUGCUAAACGGAUGGCUAGGUUAUCCUAGGGGAACACUUGCACGUGGCUUGUUACACCAGCAGUGCAAAUUGAUAUAGUCCCCAUUUGGGUUGACCAUCAGAAUAUACGUCGCUGGUUUCCCGCCUAUAUACAAUGAAUUCCCAAAACUCUAUUUAUGUUCUAGGCAAGUCAGAUUUAGUGCACAAACAUUUCUCUAAGUUUGAUCCAGAAUUAUACCCACACUAUUAACACAAUUUCCAAAAACAAACAAUAUGGCAUCAAAAUAUACAAACUGUUAUUAAACAAAUAUAAAUAAAGCAGUUAAUAAUUUAAACCUAACAACAAAGUAUUUGGUAUAAAAUACUAAAGAAACAAACAAACUUAUUACAAUGAGCAAUCAAAUAAGCAGAUGGGUAUAUACAGUAGCAAGAAAAAAUGUUACUUGUCUCAUAAAGCGCGAAAAAUCUAGAUCGAUGAAUAGGGAAUUAAGUGAAGAAACCAAAAUGCAUAUGAAAAAACAUUUACAACAUAGUCAAGUAUUUACAUAUAUUUAUAUAAGGAAAAUUAUCCACCAAUCACUUGUUUCUUCUAGCUUUUUAAAAAAUACACAAAUCUUUUUUUUUUUUUUUUGCAGCACUUCACCUCAAGUUAACAUUUUUUUCACUGGUCCACCCCUGUCAUAACAUUGUUAGAACUCUACUAACAUCCUAAGGGUAAAAUUGUCAUUUCACACCGAUAUUGUUUGAAGACAGUAGUGGAUAGGUGCAAAACAAUAUAACUUUAAGUAGAGUUCAGCAAAAAAAAGAAUUUGUAUUUUUCAAAAAAUACGAAAGAAAAUAGGUGGUUGGUGGAUAAUUUUCAUUACAUUUGGGGGUAAAAAGUCAUUUACACAAUAUUCCAUUAUUUUUCUUAACUGUUUGAAGACAGAAGUGGACAGGUGCAAAAUAAUAUAACUUCGAGUGGAGUUCAGAAAAAACUUUUUGAAAAAGUGCAGAAAAACAGGUGGUCGGUGGAUCAUUUCCUUUUAUAUAAAGAGGAUAAGGCAAAGAGAAUGAAAACAAUGUGUUUAACCAAAGAUUCACGCUACAAGACAGAUAAUACCGUUAAAAAAAAGAUAUUAGAAGAACAUGCAGCUUCAAUUUUACCCAUAUGGAUCUAUCUAUCCUCCAAUUAUCCAAGACAGAUAAUACCAAAAAUUCCCCAAAUGAGCGUUGGGGUUACCUUAAGAACUGGCUAAAUUUUGUUUGCUUGGCUGGAGCUCUUUAUGUUGCGAAGGCAGUGACAUACGGUUUCAAAACGAAUAGUCAAUGGUUUAGUUAGGAAAAUUUGAAACGAAGUGAAAAAAAUUGACGGUAUUAGGAGCUAAAGCGAAAUUGAAGAGGUUCAUGGCUUAAAAGGAAGGAGACUAAUAAUUUUACAAAAAGAAUAAUCAAGUAUAACAGCAACGACAAUGUGUGAAUGGUAGAAGAACGAUAAGAAUCAGGGGGUCUCUAAAAAGGUUUUGUGAACGGCACGAAGGAACAAGAGAAAUCACACUUGGGGAUGAUUUGGAUUUCUAAGUAAUAUGAAUGUUUACUAAUUACAAAAAAGAAAGAAAGCUUUAAGUACCUAAAAUGAUACCAUUUUGGUCUACCGUUUUAAUUAUUUGACCACAUUCGAAUUUGGGUCGAAUGUGGUCAAAAUCAAUUCUAUCAUAAUUGCUUCAUAGAAUAAAUUUAUAUCAUAAUUCUAUCAUAAGUUCAUGAUAAAAAAUAAUUCUAUCUCAAAACCAUCAUAAAUUCAUGAAAGUAAAUAUUUCUAUCACAAUCCCGUCAUAAAUCUAUGAUAGAUUGAAAAUUCUAUCAUGAUUCUGUCGUAAUUUUAUGAUAUAAGUCACUUUGCCUAUAAUAUGUCAUAAAUUGUCUGUUAUCUAUUACUUGUUUCUUGUAGUGUGCACCUUUGCACUUGUGUCAAACCUUGCAUUCUUGUCAUGUAAUUGAAACUUUCAAUAUGCGCCAACAAGUCACUCUUCCUAAAGUACUUGAGAUCGGGAAAGUAGAAGUCCCUAGGUAUCGUGGUACUCAUAAUCUCUAUUCAAAGUGGAGACUCGUUAUCCAACAUAUUUUCAAGCUUGGAGGCCUUCGUCGAUCCUGUAUCUCGUCAAUGUUCUGAGCCAAAAUUCGCAUUUCUUCUUUUUAUUCCACGACACGACCAAGAUUGCAUGUAGCAACUUGCUCGUGUUCCUAUUCUAUUUCAUUAAGAUGUUGCCUUAAUUCCCUUUCUUCAAUAUUCACUUCCCUUAUAAUAUUCUCGAAAUUCUUACUAUCAUGGAACUAAAUCUCUGUUCUGUGGUUCUGUUCACCAUGAAAUUGACUUCCAACUUUAGAAUUCUGCUCUUCAUGCAAUUGAUUUCUCAUCGCUAGAUUUUGCUUGCCUCGAUUUGGUCUGUCGCUUGAAAUUGGGAUGUCCUGGUUCUCUCCUAAGCUUCUCCGACCAAAUCUCCUUUGCGCCUCCCUCAACUCAUGUAAAACUAUUGUAAGGGUUUCCAAUUGUCUCUUUAUUUGUUCCAUUCGCUCAUACAUUGCUCUUUCCCUCGGCUCAUUUACAAUCUCUCACAAAGUAGCAGACUCAUUCACUCUAAGGUCAAUUCCUUAAGCUCUGUUUCCUCCUGUUUUUAUAUUCGAUCACCUUCUCAUCAACUUGCAUGGUUAGUGGCAGCUUUUCAUUCAGCCCCCAUAGACGGCACCAAAAUGUUGAUGUAAAAUCUGGUUGAAAUCAUUAGCACGACCAAGUCACCAUGUCAACACUUGAAUUUGUUUUGAUGGGGGACAGUACAGUUUGCACUUCCCUCCUUCGAACAGAUCCUAAUGUCUACGUUCACUUCCCUCUAGAUUCUCUUGCAUUCACAGAAAUAAUUAAGGGAUGCCGGAUAUUUUACGACAUAAAUCCUCUAGCGCUCAAGUUAGCACUUGAGUCUCUCUAGGAAAAACUUAUGUCACAACUUAUGUGGCCAAUUAUAAUUGUAUCCAGUACAAAUAUUUCAGUGAUUCUCAAAAAGAGAUAAAUUCUGAAAAAAUAAAUUCCAGAGUCAGAAAGGUAGAAUUUCAUUUCAGAGAGCGGAAAAGAGCUCACCUCUUUCAGAUUUUUGCAGACCUUUUAUAGGCAGCCGACACUAUCGUACUAUCGUGUGACAAUUCCUUUGCAUCACCGCUCAUAGGUUAGUUAAGUAGCUGCCACGGGAUAAUGGAUGAAUGUGCGAGGAAGUUGAUGAAUUAGUGGUGCAACCGUUAAUGGAGUUGUGUCAUAACUAUUAGUGAAUUGACUUCUUGCCUAGAUUCUCCGGGGGAAAGGGGAACUUGCUGGUUGCUCUUUCAUCAUCUCUUAAGAUGACUUGAUUUGGACCUCUAAUCGUGGGUUCUAUAGUUAGCCAUAUAUAUACGAGCAGUUACCAGUUUCCUCUAGGAUCUCUACCAAUAGAGUCAUGCUAAAACAAACAUUGCCCAUCAUACUCAGUUGGCAUCUCAUCGUAUUGUCCCCCCCCCCCCCNNNNNNNNNNNNNNNNNNNNNNNNNNNNNNNNNNNNNNNNNNNNNNNNNNNNNNNNNNNNNNNNNNNNNNNNNNNNNNNNNNNNNNNNNNNNNNNNNNNNNNNNNNNNNNNNNNNNNNNNNNNNNNNNNNNNNNNNNNNNNNNNNNNNNNNNNNNNNNNNNNNNNNNNNNNNNNNNNNNNNNNNNNNNNNNNNNNNNNNNNNNNNNNNNNNNNNNNNNNNNNNNNNNNNNNNNNNNNNNNNNNNNNNNNNNNNNNNNNNNNNNNNNNNNNNNNNNNAAACACUCACUACAAGAAAAAAAAGGUUAUUUCCGAGGGAAAAUACCCUCGGAAAUACAUAAAUGCUCCCGAAAAAACUCAUUUCCGAGAAAGUCAUGCUGUCGACUGUUGUCGUAUUAAGUCGCAUCGGAAAAGCACAAUUUUUUAUGGGUCGUCAGAGAAAAAAAAUUAUUUUCAACGGCAGUGCCAUCAGAAAUGACAUCAAAUGCCCUCGGAAAUGAUCCCUAUAAAACCAAAAUUACAUAUUUCCAAUUGCAUUUGCCCUUCGAAAUAGCAUUAACUACCCUUGGAAAUGGCUGGAUAACGCAAAUGAAUACUAUUCCAACCGUAAUUUACCCUCGAAAAUGCUUCUUUUUUUAUUUAGUGACCCAUUUAAAAAAUUUAAUAUUAUUAUUUAUCUUUUUAUUUUUUUCUUUUCAAGUAUCUGUAUUACCAAUGCAACAUAAUCAACAAAAUGGCAAUAGCAACACGCAAAAUACAUCUUCAUUAAUUUCAAAAAAUUUCAAGGUAUCACAUUCAUCAAUCAAAAGUAGAACAUAAUCAAUUUUAAUAGGAUAUGAAAAAAAUUCUCAAAUGUAUACGCAAUAUGAUUUCAUAGCUUGAAUUAUUUCAAGCAUCCUCCAACACGUGUUCUUUAGUCUCUGAGACCUACGUUUGCCUUUACCUCAUCUUCUCUAUUCCCAUCAUCAUCUUCAUUCGACCAAAUAAUAUCAUAUAUGAAUCAAGAAAUAUGAAUUUGCUCUAUCCCCACAUCAUCAUUACUACACCAAAUAAUAUCCUAAAUCAACGAAGAAAUAUUAAUCAAUAAAUUAUCAAAUCAGUAACUAGUAUAAUAGUAUGUUAUAUUCAACAAUCACUUUGUAUAGAGCUGAGCAUAAGUAUUAUAUCCAAGAUAUGCUUAAGAAGCUUGACAGAAUAUGAGACUGGAAUGGAUAAUAAUCAUUAGAGCAAUAUUUUGUAUCAAUAAGCAAAUAUGCUAAUAUUUGAAGUCAUUAGCAGAAGUUGGAUUCUAAAUUUAGCAAGUAUUUACUAACCUAUAAAUUUGGACAUUAGUCCUUAUACAAGUUUAGAGAGGCCGAAAAAUGCAACACUGCCAUUAGAAGAUUUAUGUGUUUGUGAUAAUCUGGUCUAUCAGUUACAAAACCCUCUUAUGGUUAGUUUCUAUAGAUUAGAAAGUGAAAAAAAAAUUAAAAGGCUUGAAAGUAAAUGAAAAUUAACAAUUUGUAACCUAAGAGAUGAUUCUUGUGCACUUGUGUUUCCAAGUACAAGCUUCACUAUUCUUUUCAACCUCUUCACUUCUUUCUCCAGAAACUAUAAUACAAUGAAGAAUGCCAAACAAUGAGCAUGAAAUAAUUGCUACUUGAAGAUCGCCAACUAUAAAUUGUCCAUAAACCUUGAAAGAGAGUAAAACUACCAUAAAGAGUUUGGAUUCAUUAUCAUGAACAGCAACAAAUGCAAGCCCUUAAGCUAGCUCAACUGAAAACUCAUCAGCUGUCAAAUUAUAUAUGCAUAUAAAUUAGCCCAAAAAAAAAGAAAAUAUAAUUUAAACUUUGUAGUAUUAUUUUCCUGAUUAUCCAAUACUCACCAUGCAUGGUUUUGAAUGUAGACUCAAAUAAUAUUCAGUAAUGAGAAUCCAAACAGAAAAUAAUAUGUUAGUUACGUUUAAUUUCAGCCACAUUGUGCACUCUCAAAUAAGGAAUAUUGUUAUGAAAUUCUCCAGCAGCUGCAGCAUGUGCUACUUUACUCUUCAAUUUGAUUGCAGAGUCCAUGGUCCUUAUAUAUCAACUGAGAAAUUCAAUAAGGAAAACAAAAAUUGGACAAAGCUUGAAAGUCCAUAGUCCUUGUAUACCUCCACAGUCUCUAUACACCUAAAAGGAAAGUUUUUCAGAGGUUUUAUAUUACAUAUAGGUGUUACCAUCAAAGCAAAUAAACAGUGGCAGCACAUGCUAUGUAAAAUUAAAUUCAAUAACUAGCAAAAUACAAACUAAAAAGGGAGUAGUAGCUACGCCUGCUCUCUGAUUCAAUACUUUUUUUCUUUUGAUUGUUAUUCUCUUAUUCUUCCCUACUGGAUUUGAUUCUUAAUUAGUUUCUGAAAAUCAAGAAUGAGCUGCCACUCCUGAAUCUCAAGUCAUCUUAAUCAGCUUAUGCCAUGCAUAUCUUUUUUGCUUUAAUUAUGCCAUACUAUUAAUUAAUAACAUGAGAUGAUAAACAUGCAUGGAUGGAUAACUAACACAUGAUUCUUGAUCAACUAAAUGGAAUAAUCAAUAUUGUUUCUGAAAAAAGAAAAUUAAAUAAAUGCAAAAAUGAUGCUGUCAAGUUGUAAUUAUACACUAGGAUUAUAGUCUCCAUGAACUUGAUAGUUUAAUAUCUACUGACUAAGCCCCAACUGUAUUUAAAUAACAUUCCUUUUUCUAUGAGCCAUUUCAACAAACAGCUUGAAGACUGUGUGGAAUCAAAUUAGUUAUAUUCGGUUAUACAUGCUGAGGUGGAAGCUAAGUCAGCAAUGUGGAAGCUGAGUCAGCAAGGGUGGGUCCCCAGGUGGUUUAAUUAGUUGUUAUAACCAGCUGUACUAACUGAUAGCUAUAAGAAGAAGCUUCAGAGAGAGAGCUGAUAAGUGUGUGUGAGGUUAUCGAGAACAUUAGUGUGAGUUUAUUGAGAGAAGAAACCCUCUGUGUGAGUGUAAUCAAGUUUUUGCUCUCUAUGAGACUCCAUUGUAACCUUCUUUGUUCAUCUGCUAAUAAAACUCUAAGCUCUGCUGUUCCUGAUCGUGGAUGUAGGUACCUUGGUACCGAACAACGUUAUCUUUGUCUUGAGUCUUUAAAGUUCUUUAUCUUGCUCUAUUAUUUCUGGUAUUGGUAUCAGCUGUUCCUGGGUUCUUGCUUUGGUUGUGUUUAGUUGUUGCAUCAGUAGAAUUGCAAGGUUGAUCAGAAUAAUCCAACAAAUUGGUAUCAGAGCUUGGUCCAUCUAUCUUGCUCUAAGAAAUUCUAAAAAAAUGGGAUCUACAAGAUUCGAUCUUGAGAAGUUUAAUGGAGAGAAUGACUUCUACCUGUGGAGUCUUAAAAUAAGGGCAAUCCUCAUUCAACAAGGGCUGGAUUCUGCACUCGAAGAAGAUGAAGAUUCAAAAGUCCAGAAAGGGAAGAAAGAAUGAUCAUCUAGUACUGGUGCAGAUAAAAGAAUCAUAAAUAACAAGGCUCACAACACUAUCAUUUUACACCUGUCAGAUGAAGUACUGAGAGAGGUGGCUAAAGAAAAGACUGCUUCUGGUUUAUGGGCUAAGCUGGAAGAAUUAUUCUUAAAGAAGUCAUUAGCCAAGAGAUUGUACAUGAAAAAAACUGUACACGUUUUCAAUAAAGGAUGGAACAGCUUUGAAGGACCAUUUGGAUGAGUUCAACAAACUGAUUCUGGAUCUUGAAAAUGUGAACAUAGAUCUUGAGGAUGAAGAUAGAGCCCUAAUCCUAUUAAGCUCACUUCCAGAUUCCUAUGAGCAUUUUGUUGAUACAUUGCUUUAUGGGAGACAGACACUCACACUAAAGGAUGUAAAGAAUGCCCUGGAAUCGAAGGACUUAAAGAGAAGAAUAGAUGGAAAGGAUCUAAACCCUGCUGAAAGCUUAGUUGCCAGAGCUAAACCUGAUAAGAAAUUCAACAAAGAUAAGAAGAACAACAACCAGAAAGACAAAGGAGACAAGAAGAAAAAGAAAAGAAAUUGUUAUUUUUGCCACAAAGAAGGACAUUACAUCAAAGUCUGUUUUGAGAAGAAGAGGCUGGAAAAAUUGCAGAAAGAAACAAAUGGGAAGGCUGCUGUAGCCUCAGAAGAUGAAGGAAUCUCAGAUGAUGCAGAUGUUCUCAUUGCUGCAGAGAAGCAACCUUCAGGUGAGUGGAUACUUGACUCAGGUUGCUCCUUCCAUAUGUGUCCUAAUAUGGAUUUUUUUAAGACCUUUGAACAAGUUGAUGGUGGGAAGGUCUUGCUUGGUAACAAUCUUGCCUGUAAAGUAGCUGGAAUUGGAACCAUUAACAUUAUGAUAUUUGAUGGGAUUGAAAGAGAUCUAAAGCAGGUCAGAUAUGUCCCAGAAUUAAAAAAGAAUCUAAUAUCCUUAGGAGUAAUGGAUCAGGCUGGCUGUAGUAUAAAAGCAUAAAAUGGUAACCUUCAGAUUGAAGAAAAUGGUCUGGUCAUAAUGAAGGGCAUAAGAAGAAAUGGUUUAUAUGUACUCACUGGCUCAACAGCUGAACCAGCAAUCACAGCUAGUGUAAGUAGUGAUAGAACCAAGCUGUGGCACAUGAGGUUAGCACACAUGAGUGAGAAGGGAAUGAAAGAACCGAGCAAACAAGGGCUGCUGGGAAAUGAUCAGAUCACCUCUUUACAGUUUUGUGAAAAGUGUGUGUUUGGAUCACCUCUUUACAGUUUUGUGAAAAAUGUGUGUUUGGUAAAGCAACAAGGCAUAGGUUCAACCCUGGAAAAAAGGAAACUAAACAGACCUUAGACUAUGUUCAUUCAGACCUUUGGGGUCCAUCACAAGUCCCUUCUCAUGGUGGAGCCAGAUACUUCAUAACCUUCAUAGAUGACUACUCCAGAAGAGUGUGGGUCUAUGUGCUGAAACAUAAGAAUGAAGCCUUUGAAAGAUUUAAGGAGUGGAUUGCACUCAUGGAGAAUCAAACAGAAAGAAGACUUAAAAGACUAAGAACAGACAAUGGUUUAGAAUACUGUAACAAGGACUUUGAAAAUUUCUGUAAGUCAAAGGGCAUUGCUAGGCACAGGACAGUUAGAAACACCCCCCAACAAAAUGGGUUGGCUGAAAGAAUGAAUAGGACCUUAAUUAAAAUGGUCAGAUGCAUGCUACUAAAUGCUAAUCUGUUUAAACACUUCUAGGCUGAGGCUGUAAAUACAGCUGCAUAUUUGAUAAACAGGAGCCCAUCAUCAGCCUUGGACUUCAAAACACCUCAAGAAGUGUGUUCAGGGAAGCCACCAAACCUUAGUAAUCUCAGGUAUUUGGUUGCCCAGCUUAUGCACAUAUAAGUCAGGGCAAGCUAGAACCAAGGGCUGUAAAAGGAUACUUCAUAGGGUACCCUGAAGGUAUAAAAGGAUACAAGAUUUGGUGCUUAGAUGGCAAACCAUCAAGAACUCUGAUCAGCAGAGAUGUAGUGUUUGAUGAAGAGGCUAUGCUGCAGCAAAAGGUUGGAACAGAAAUUGAAGUUUCUGAACCUUUAAAUAAAUUGAGUUGAAGGUGGAGUCCAAAGACAUUUUGAAAGAAAGUGAAAAGAUUACAGAGUCUCAUCAUGGAGUUAGCAAAGCCUCAGAACUUGAUAACUACCAACUUGCAAGAGAUAGAGAAAGAAGGGUAGUUAAAAUGCCCAAAAGAUUAAGGAGUGGAUUGCACUCAUGGAGAAUCAAACAGAAAGAAGACUUAAAAGACUAAGAACAGACAAUGGUUUAGAAUACUGUAACAAGGACUUUGAAAAUUUCUGUAAGUCAAAGGGCAUUGCUAGGCACAGGACAGUUAGAAACACCCCCCAACAAAAUGGGUUGGCUGAAAGAAUGAAUAGGACCUUAAUUAAAAUGGUCAGAUGCAUGCUACUAAAUGCUAAUCUGUUUAAACACUUCUAGGCUGAGGCUGUAAAUACAGCUGCAUAUUUGAUAAACAGGAGCCCAUCAUCAGCCUUGGACUUCAAAACACCUCAAGAAGUGUGUUCAGGGAAGCCACCAAACCUUAGUAAUCUCAGGUAUUUGGUUGCCCAGCUUAUGCACAUAUAAGUCAGGGCAAGCUAGAACCAAGGGCUGUAAAAGGAUACUUCAUAGGGUACCCUGAAGGUAUAAAAGGAUACAAGAUUUGGUGCUUAGAUGGCAAACCAUCAAGAACUCUGAUCAGCAGAGAUGUAGUGUUUGAUGAAGAGGCUAUGCUGCAGCAAAAGGUUGGAACAGAAAUUGAAGUUUCUGAACCUUUAAAUAAAUUGAGUUGAAGGUGGAGUCCAAAGACAUUUUGAAAGAAAGUGAAAAGAUUACAGAGUCUCAUCAUGGAGUUAGCAAAGCCUCAGAACUUGAUAACUACCAACUUGCAAGAGAUAGAGAAAGAAGGGUAGUUAAAAUGCCCAAAAGAUAUGGGAUAGCAGACCUGAUAUCUUUUGCACUGAUGGUUGCUGAUGAGAUGACUGGAGAAGAACCUGAAAAUUUCAAACAGGCUAUGAAUAGCAGAGACAAUGGGAAAUGGCUGAGUGCUAUGGAAGAUGAAAUGAUAUCACUCAAGAAAAAUAAUACUUGGGUUCUGGUUCAGAGACCUGCUGGAAAAAGGUUAGUGGGAUGCAAAUGGAUCUUCAAGCUCAAGGAUGGAGUUUCUGGAGAUAAAUCAGUGAGAUACAAGGCUAGACUUGUGGCAAAGGGCUUCACACAAAAGGAAGGGAUAGACUUCAAUGAAGUCUUCUCACCUGUAGUUAAACACUCCUCUAUAAGGGUCCUAUUAGCCAUCACAGUUUUCUUUGAUUUAAAACUGGACCAGAUGGAUGUGAAGACUGCCUUCUUACAUGGAAGCUUAGAAGAAGAAAUUCUAAUGACACAACCAGAGGGCUUUGUUGAAGAAGGAACUGAAGACAUGGUUUGCUUACUCAAGAAAAGUUUGUAUGGGUUGAAGCAAUCUCCUCGGCAAUGGUACUUGAGAUUUGAUGAGUUUAUGUUAAGUCAUAACUUUAACAGAAGUGAGUAUGACAACUGUGUGUACUUUAGAAAGCUGAACUCAGGAGAUCAAAUCAGUCUACUUCUCUAGGUUGAUGACAUGCUCAUAGCAUGUAAACAUAAAGAAGAAAUUAAUAAGCUCAAGGCUAAGUUAAUGGCAGUAUUCGAAAUGAAAGAUUUGGGUCCUGCUGCUAAGAUACUGGGAAUGCAAAUAAAGAGGGACAGACAUGCCAAGACUCUAUUUCUCACUCAAACAGGAUAUCUGAAAAAGGUUGUCAAUAGAUUUGGGAUGAUGAACUCAAAAUCUGUCACUACUCCAGUAGCAACACACUUCAAACUCUCCAAGCAACAUGCUCCUAAAAAAGAAGCAGACAUUGAUCACAUGAGGAGAAUUCCAUACUCUAGUGCAGUUGGUAGCAUUAUGUAUGCUAUGGUCUGCACUAGACCAGAUGUUGCAUAUGGGAUUGGCCUUGUUAGCAGGUUCAUGGGGAACCCAAGCAAAGAGUAUUGGGAGGCUGUUAAGUGGCUACUAAGGUAUCUUAGAGGUACAGAAGGACAUGGAGUGAUGUUUGGACAGGUCAGCAAUGCCUCAAGCAAGGUUUUGGGGUAUGUUGACUCUAAUUUUGCAGGAGAUUUAGGCAAGAGAAUAUCUGUCACUGGUCUUGUAUUUACCCUCUGUGGUGGAGCUGUGAGCUGGAAGUCAACACUACAAUCAGUAGUUGCCCUUUCAACACAGAGGCAGAGUAUAUUGCUUUAACAGAGGCUGUGAAAGAAGCGUUAUGGUUGAAGGGGUUAAUCACAGAGCUGGGUUUGGAAUAAGAAUCAGUCACUGUCAACUGUGAUAGCUCAAGUGCAGUACAGUUGAGCAAAAACCCCAAGUAUCAUGAAAGAACUAAGCAUGUGGAUGUGAAGAUGCACUUUAUCAGGAAUAAAAUUCGAAGUGGUGUGAUUAAUGUCAUUAAGAUUCCUACUGAAGUAAAUCCAGCAGACAUGUUAACAAAGCCUAUACCAACAGUUAAGUUCAGGAACUCCUUGGACUUGAUUGGGGUUAUUAACUUGUAAGUCAAGUUACUAAUUUUCUGGAGCAAUGAUGAGUAGAGCUAUAACCGAAUAAACUAAGGUGGAGAUUUGUGGAAUCAAAUUAGUUAUAUUCGGUUAUACAUGCUGAGGUGGAAGCUGAGUCAGCAAGGGUGGGUCCCCAGGUGGUUUAAUUAGUUGUUAUAACCAGCUGUACUAACUAAUAGCUAUAAGAAGAAGCUUCAGAGAGAGAGCUGAUAAGUGUGUGUGAGGUUAUCGAGAACAUUAGUGUGAGUUUGUUGAGAGAAGAAACCCUCUGUGUGAGUGUAAUCAAGUUCUUGCUCUCUGUGAGACUCCAUUGUAACCUUCUUUGUUCAUCUGCUAAUAAAACUCUAAGCUCUGCUGUUCCUGAUCGUGGAUGUAGGUACCUUGGUACCGAACCACGUUAUCUUUGUCUUGAGUCUUUAAAGUUCUUUAUCUUGCUCUAUUGUUUCUGGUAUUGGUAUCAGCUGUUCCUGGGUUCUUGCUUUGGUUGUGUUUAGUUGUUGCAUCAGUAGAAUUGCAAGGUUGAUCAGAAUAAUCCAACAGACUGCAUUGAAAUCAAAAAGAGACUCAGAAAAAGUAAAUUGAUGCGUUUGAAAUCAGAUGAAAAUUGGACCUGGAUCGGCUAUUUUAAUGACUUGUUUGAAUUCGGAUCGUUCGAUGCGUCUGUUGAGCAACGUGAAGAGAUCUCUGAUUAGAACCCUAAAAUUCAUCAGCCGAUGGAAAUCAUAAACUAAUCCAAAACUAACUUGAAUCUAAUCUUAAAUUAAUUUGAAAAAAAUAAAGAUAUCAACUAUAAAAUUGAGAGAUCGAACAAUGAAGAAGUGAAAUAAUCACCUUCGGGCAAUCGAGAAGCAAGAACAAUGGAGAUGUGAAAAUGAUAAGUAAUUGUCACAUCCUUGUUUAAUUAAAAAGUUAUUGAGAGGGAGAGCUGUGAUCUUCUAAUCGCUUUCUUCUCCAUUUUUUUUCAAAUGAAAUCAAUUUUAGUGGACUAAUAAUAAUUUAAUUAACCACCGAGUUCAAGUUCGAGCUUUCAAUUAGGCAGAGCUAGUGCAUAAUUUAAUUAGCCAUUCAUUUAUUUUUAAACAUAUCACUAACAUUAAGUCUAACUUGAGAAGAUUUAUCAUUAAUUAUGCCCUUGAAUAAUUGUAUUUCCGACCAGUGUAUUAUUUAUUAGCGACAUCAAUUUGCUCUUGAAAAAGCUAAUAGUUUUUUUAAUAUUUUUCCGACAGAUCUUUUCGCCUUUGUAAAAAGUACUUAGUACCAAAGGUAAAUAAAACCCUCGGAAAUAUUUCGUCGGUAAUACUAUUGUUUGUUGCAGUGACUUUUCCCCUAAUCUCUAGUGUUGAAAGUGUAGCGAGUCAAGACUAGGAACUAAAAUUUGCUACUGCUGAUUAUCGAGGAGGAAGUGUUAGAUUGCACAAAUCACAGCUUGUCACUGGUUGGUACCUUUUGGACCUGAUCGUCCUUAUUGUGGUUAGUAUUUGAUCCUUUCACUUGAUAUGAGUGAUUAAGUUCUUGAAGAGACACAAGGGCCUAAUUGCCUUCUUGAAACACCACCUGAACAUACUGCUUUUGAGUUAUAUAGCAAUUCUCUUUCUUUUUUAGUAUUUGAUGAAAGGAAGAGUUGUUUUGACAUAUGGACGAUGAAAGAGAGAUGUUGUUGGACCAAAGAAUUCACCACUGCCCCAAUUAUCGUAGUUGAUACUCCAACUGGGUUUUGGAAGAAUGAUGCCUUGUUAUAGGAUCCAAUAUAGAGCAGUUACUUUUAUAGAUCUGAAUACUCAGGAAAUCAUUGACUUUCAGCACAAAGAUUGUUGCUAGACUUUUUUUAAAAAAAAAAUAAAGAGAGUUUAUUCAAAUUUAAAGGUUAUUAGAGAAAUAUCUUGACUCAAAACCUUAAGUUGAUAGGUAAGGGCCCAAUAAUUUUAAUAGGUGUUCUGUUCACGUGAAACAUGAAUUAAGACUUGAAACAGAAGCUCUUAUACAUGGGUUUAAAGAUAAUAUCCGAAAGUGAGAUAAGAAAAUGAAGAAAUAAUUAAACGAACGGAUUCACUGUAUCAAAUGAAUCGUCAAAUAAGGAGCUUCGCUAUGGCCUCCAAGUAGGAGUUGUAUCGGCUUCAUAGGUUAAAGUUUCUCAUGAGUUUUUGGGAAAGAGUAUUGCCAUUAAGAGAUAUGGACAAUAUGUAAUGCCGUAGCCAUUAGCUAUAUGAAUGUAUAUAAUGAUGUAUUAGUAUAGUUUGUUAAGUCCAUUAUUUAUAGAAUUGGCAUCUUAUGGCAAGUCUAGUUAAAUUAGAAGUUUAUUUAUUACAUAUCUUGUAAUAGAGAUUAAUUUAUUAAUUCCCUAAUUUAGUGAGAUUCCAAUUUAUUAGGAAUAUUUGUUUCUUAAUUUAAUUAGAAAGUCUAAUUUAGCAAGUCAAUUAAUGGUGGGAUUCUAUAAUUGGCGCAUGAGAUCUAUUUAGAGCAAGAAGUUGGUUCAAACAGGAAGUCAUUAAAUGCUCUAGAUAUUUCUUGGGAGACAAGCAAGGUAAGAAGAUCAGAUUUGUUCCUAUUCAUAUUCAUAGGAAUUAUAAGAGGAAAGAAACUCUUAUUUGGAAAGAAUUCAAGUCUUUUAAGACUUAUUAUUUUGGUGAAACUCUAGUGCCUAUAUAAAAAGAGGUAUUUCAUAAUUGAACUUUUUUUUUUUACGCACAACACAUAGCAUAAAGCAGAGAAGCAAAAUUCGGCCUCCUCCCUAGAGAAUCCGAAUUUGGUGCAUAAUGUUGUGUUGAUUUGUUUUCUUAUCUUCUUUUAAUCUCUAUGGAGAGUCUAUGUGGAUCUUGGAUCACUAGAUAUCGAAGAAUUGCUAUUGAUCAUUUUACGAAGUGCCUUGAGAAUCGUGGAUCAAGAGGGUAGCAAUUAUUCAAAAGAAGCAGAUUCAGUCUAAGGUUGAGUAAACUGUAUGGUGAUAAACUGUAAGUGAGAGUCUUAAAUUUAGUAAAUCCAUAGGUUGUAACAUCUCAACUUAUAGAAUUGCUUUUCAUUUGGGCGUGGCCUCGUGGAUGUAGGAUUGAUUAAUUAGAACCACGUAAAAAUCUUCGUGUCAUUUAUUUUCUGCAUUUUAUUAUUUUUUUGGAAAAUUAAUAUUUUUGAAGCGGAUGAACAGUAAUCGUGAACAAUAACUGUGAACAGUUGCGGUAAACAGUAACGGUAAACAGUAACAGUGAACAGUACUUCCAGAAAAUUAAUUAAGUAAUUAAUUUUUAGUUUUUAAUUGCCUACAUCUAUUUGUGAUAGAUCUAAAUUCCUUUCAUAGUCGAUAGCAAUCUUGUUUACAUAUUCAAAGUAAUAUCCUGAAAAUACCCAUGUAAGAGCAAGAAGUAGACUUGUAACCCAUAAUUUCUGAGUUCUUGUAUCCUAGAGUUCAUGGAUUUGUUCCUUUUCAAUUUAAAAUUUGGCUUGAUUUUUCAGUUUCUUUAACAAGUAGCAAGCAGACAGAUUCCAUUAUAUAUCUUCAGUUGAGUGAUUUCCAAGAUAUUCAUCCCCAUAAAUCAACCAGAUUCACCUAUUUACAACAUCAGCAUAAUAUUGUCAAAUCAAAUCGGGGGUUCAGUUCCAGGAUGGUAAAUAAAAAUCCAAAAGCCUAUUUCACAUAUAUGAGUUCAUUGCUGGGGAUUUAUUGAGGAGUAAUUGUAUAAUGCUCGGUCAAACCAUAUCUCGUCGCUAUAUAGCCUAUUGGUAACCCACCCUCUCGAGAAAAGUUGAGUGAAUUAUGGACCCUUCCGUAAUCAGGUAAAGGUGAAUUUUCUUUCUUACAAAUGUGAAUAGCGGGUAGAUAUGUCCCAAAAAUCAAGAGUAGAAUUCU